RNAcentral lists this long non-coding RNA (58356 nucleotides) under Musa acuminata (dwarf banana). RNAcentral's name for it is "long non-coding RNA (MACU_LNC007756)". The record is from RNAcentral. Lineage: Eukaryota; Viridiplantae; Streptophyta; Magnoliopsida; Zingiberales; Musaceae.
AGGCUUUAAGCACCUGUAUUCUUUAAUUCCGAGUUUCUUUUUGAAGGCUUUCAGCACCUUACUUUGAAACUAAAACUCUUUGCUUUGAGCUUUGCUUACUUGCGAACUAACUUAUACUAUUAUUACAGUUCCUAAUCAUAAUGUCACUUAUUACAGUUCCUAAUCGUAAUGUCACUGGGUCUACCAAGACUUAAUGCUAUGCUGGAAAGAAUGGAACUAAGGCAUAUACCCUUAAACUCACUUCAAAGACCGUGCCCUAGAAGAAAGAAUUGAAACCGUCCCCCAGCAACAAGGGAUGCCACACUGCCCUAACGACUCCAACUGCUGAAGAAGAGCGACAUUAAAGCAAGAAUAUUAGACCAAGAGAGACAUUACAGCCAGGAUAUGAGAUCAGUAAGAGUGAAAUAAGAUUUUCUAUUAGUAUUUAAAUAGUAAGGUGCUGAAAGCCUAGUGGUUACUUGUCUAGUUACUUGCCUCUGACAGUUUCGUUUGGGUUUCGUUCUCUAUAGCUCGAUUCCAUAGUUCCUGUUUAGGUAGAUGCCCUCACUCAAAGUUCAUUCCUGUAGUCUCCGAUCUCCUCUUUCAUCCCGUAUACUGCCCCGAACUCCUAUGCUUAUAAAGUUAGUUCCGAUACUGACUACUCGAAGCUUGCGCCCCAGGGAAUAGGCUUCUACCAAUAUAACGGAAGUUCAAUUUGGUUUAUGCUUCUCCCUUGUCUAGCCCCAUCCUUUGACUUACUCAGUGGAGGUCUGUUACUUACGAGCGCAACUCUCACUAUUUACCACUAGGAACCUAAGAGCUCCUCCGCUCUAAUACUAUCUAGUACUAAUCGUUUUGCGCAUGAGACUAAUAGGAAUGGUCAGAAGGAGCCUAGAUCUAGUUAAACUAACCUAACCAGGGGGGAGAAUAUAGUUGACUUUAUGGCCACUCGGCAUUUAAAUAAGAAUGUAGGCGGUAUCUUCUCUGUAAGUAAUAAUAUAGUAGGCACAAUGUACUGCAGACUAAAAGCUAAUGCGCUCUGGUGGUAACGUAACCACAAGGGAACCGCUCCGUAGAGUAGGAAGUAAAGGAAUCGUAGACAGAUAAGAUAAGGAAGGGCAUAUAUAAAUUGAAAGAUCAUUAGCGAAGAAGGGGAGUCGAGUUUGGAAGUAAGGAACAGAACAGAGGAACAAGCGGAUAAGCAGAUAGUUAGUGAAUGAAAAGCUUAAUUAUAGCAUAUAUAUAUAUAUAUCAAAAGGUGGUUUCAUAACAGUAGUGUUAAAGGGAUAAUAACCUAUAUGCUAACUAAGAAAGUAGUGUCACCCAUUCUUCAACCACUGUCACUAAGACUUAAGCCAGUGCCGAGUAGGCUGAUGCGGUGUCUGCUAAGACUGAUGUGGCCCACUGCUGUAUGGGACUGCUGCUAUGGAGUUAGAGAAUGUAGCUAGUCAAUUGAAGUAAGUGAAACACAAGCCUACCCGCCAAGUCUAGUUUUCAUUGCUUAUGAGUUUCAUUCCAUUUAUACUGUCUUAUCAUUGCCACCAGCUCCGGUCCUUUCUUUGGCUGGCAGCCGCGUCAGUGAGUUACACUAGUUUCAUGAUUUGUUUACAGUGUCAGGUCAGUUGCUUGGCGGUAGCGAGUUCAACCGAUCCAUGCUUUUGACUCUGAAUUGGUGCACCCAACUACCUUACUUGCUAAUGGAUAAGGUAGUCAGAAUGCCAGGUAAUUAUCCACUCCCCGCUUCCAAGUAAGUACUUUCUUCUUCGUGAUAAGCCACCCUUUCUUUCUUUUUCUUUUCUUUCUCAGGUCUUUCAUGGUACCAGAGCUGUGACGUCAACUUCGCACACACUUUCUUUUGUCAAAAUAUCUAAUGAAAUCAAAUUGGAUUACUUAUAAGUUCGUUUUCGUAUCAUAUAGGUGAACAAGUAAGGAAUAGAAGUGGUUCGUGUUUUCUGUGUGUUCAAUCGAUGUUCCUAUGGGUGUGAAGUCUACCUUUAUCUUCCAAAGCUUUUUCUGUGUGUUCAAUCGAUAUUCCUAUGGGUGUGAAGUAGGCAAAUAACUUGUGAUGCGGCAGGAGCGGUGGAAGAGAGUUGACUUGAGCUUACUUUCUUUUGAGUUGAAUUCAAUUGUCUAGGAAAGUAGCGGAGUUAAGGAAUACAUCUAGUCUAGAAACUCCCUUCCAUGUUUGUUACUUCAAUGCCAAACUUAAUCAUUUCCCGACCCAACAAGCUUACUACUAACGGACAAUCUUCGCCUACCAUAUCUCUUUCUCUUACCCACUCUAUUGAUCCGGACUGGAUGGACUACUUCACUUCUCCUUUCCUUGAAGACUGACUCCUAUUCUGUAUAUUCCUACUUGGAGGGUGGGCAAGCAACUCAAACUUUGACACCACAACUUCUUUUGUUGUUGCAAGAGAAGAAUAGGGUACUUUCUAUCGAGCUGGCCAUAAUACAUAAUUGCUAGCGCAUUCUAAGAAAUAGUAUAAAUAGAAGGAAGGAUAGAUCUAGCGCAUCAGGUAUCAGAAUUAGGCUCCAGGUACGAUCUAGCCAAUUAAGUAAGAAAUCCAGAAUACUGUUUAUAGGAGAGGCGAGGUCGGGUAGUUCGGUGCCCUUAUUGUAAGUUUCGGAUAAUUAAGACCUUAGUGACUUGACUUGGCCCGCAUCUAGUACUUGCUUGGCAGUUUACAGAGGAGAAGUAGAUGAGCAACCACUUGAUGAGUUUACAUAGGAGUGAAAGGCUUUCCCCUGUAUCAUCCUAAAUGAAAUCCUAUAUAAAGAGAAAUAGACAAGCAACGUCGGGUCGGCACUGAAAGGAUUUGUUACCCACCAGAGCAGAGGCCUCUAUAGUCAGUUGGGAGAGCCAAGUACUGUUAGGGCAGUAGUAGUUCUCAUAUUCCCAAUCUUCCGAGAACUAUACUAGCUCAUAAGAAUAAGGGAUCCACUAACUGGUCCAGGGCAGGGCUCCUUAGCUUUGAACUCGCAUGACGGAUAUUCUUUUUCAUAGCUUCCGUAAUCUUUCUCUGUGACUCCUAGAAAACAGAAAAGGUGUUCUUUUUCACAGCAUAGGGUAUGACGGAUAUUCCAAUGAAGUGGAUAGCACUAGGUUAGUUACCAGCUUCCAUAAGACCUAGCUCAUGGGAGGCGAAAACUGGAAUAGUAGUUGGGCAUAGAACAGGACUCUAAGGUUCUUUAAGUAAAAGAGUGAUCUUGACGCUCUACCGAACGCUCUACUGACUAAGUAUAAGAAAACAUAGGAGAACUUUGACUAUCCGUAUAUAGGAAACCGGAUGAAACUAUGGAUAUGAAACAAGGGAUUCCACUCAUAAACUACAGGCUCUGCUCUGGCUCUUUGAACUAAGUCAGAUCUUUCUUCCGCUUCUGAAGUUGCUGGUCGAGGUCCAAUAGAAAGGAAAGGUUUUGUGUCAGCUGUAUUAGCUACUAAUUGAAUAGCUUCCCUUGCAUACCUCUUCGGUGUUGCCUUAUUGUAAACCUUGCAAAUCAAUGCCUAUCAUGCCCCACUCACUCUUCCUGGCCUGUGUACUUUAUUACAAUUCUUCCUAUAACUAAACGGACUUUCCCGCGCGUACUGCUCUAUACUCCAACCAUAGCCUCCUUUCUUCAAUUCCCUUAGUUUAGUGUUAUCAAUGAGAAUUCUUUAUGUGGGGCACUAGGUAUAUAAAUGAGUCAGGGUACAGCGCUUCUUCUCUUUAUUCCUCCCCUGCCUCAGAUCCUGUUUAAGAGCCAGAUCCCACAGUAAGAUAGAAUUUGGAACUAACCAAAACAGACUAUAAGGGCUCGCUAACUGCUUACUUGAUAUCCGGAUCCGGUUUCAGGACAGAACAACUUCCCUUGAAGACCAGACCCUCACUAACUUAUCCCUAACUAACUUAGCAACUCAAGACUCUCCACUUUAAGACCUAGCUCCGGUGAGGUUACCUGCUUCCAUAAGACCUAGCUAUAUAAGUAUUCCGUCGACUAUUAGACUCUAUUCUAGUUCUCUCUCUCGCCAACUACAGGAUUAGUAGUAUCGGAGUAGAAGAGAAGACCAGUCCCUUAUGAUUAUUAGUUUCAAGAAAGAGCCAAAGCAUAUACCAGACAAGAACAGUUGGACCAGACCAGAGACCUGUAGGGCUAGGAAUAAGAUUAUAAGCUGGCGAAAGAUUCAAUUAAAUAAAUGAAGUAAGAAGAAACUGAAUGAGGAGCUAGGUACAGAACAGAGAAGAUACCGCUCAGUUCACCAACUCACCAAAACACGGGGGCAAAGCAACGAGGAUUAAUAAGCGACUUAACUGCCACUAACACCUGAGAUUGACCAAACAAGUAGAGUCAUUGGCUUUUUCAUCUCGUACACCCAAGAUCAGAAGCAAGGGUACCAAGUAUAAGGUAUCUUGAAAGCCAGGAUAGAAAGCCUGUUAGUGCAGAGGUGUGACUACUCCUUUAGCUCAGAGUCUUGAUCCGAGUCAAAGUAAGCAGAUAGAGCAGAGCCAGAUCCCACCAGUAGAUGUAGAUUCCAAUCCAUUGGAAGAAAAUUCCAUAAACUAGAUAAAGUCCAAUGAAAAACAAGAGGCUGUUCACAGAGGAAAACCGGCUUUCAUUCCAAUUAUUAGCUUAUUAUAGGAUUCUAUUGACAAUAGUCCGAAAAGACACUCUAACUACCAGUAGACCAAGAUCUUAAGCCUCAGAUGGAUCCUUCUCUUGCUCCCGAACACAGCUUCCCUCCAUUCAACAACUUGACCUUACCCAUCCUUUACUAACGCGUAACAUUAAUGGAAUUGCCAAUUUCCCUUCCCCUCCGGCUAGGCACCCCGACAUGGCAAAACGGGACCCUGACCCGACUCACUCUAUCUGACUGGCCCACCUCGCCUUAAAGCCAGUACUUAACCCAGGAUCAUUAGUACUUUAAGCUUCCUCACCUGUGCUUGAACACCGCCAAGUCCCUACAAAAAUACAUAGCAAUGCUUGCCUGGUUGUGCAAAGAAUGGUUCGCUGAAGUUAGUGGUUCCGCCCUUAAGUGAAUUGGUGAUAGUGUCAUCCCGCCCAGCAAACACUAGGUUUCAUCCCGAGUUGAGUCUAUCUAUUUCAUCCCGAGUAACGUCUAGGUGCCUUCCAUCAAAACAAAAGUCUCUAUUUUGCUAUCAGCCAAGUAACUCCUAGAUAAGAUUUAUGGCCUAAACUAUCAUAUCUGCACCUCUUCUUCAAGAUAAGAAUGGAGUUUGUCAGCACUAGCUCGAGUCUUGUUAUAGCACUUAAGGAUAAGAGAUAGAGUUAGUGUAUUAAGAAUGGACCUCCCUCGUCUGCCUCUGCUCAUGCAACAAAGUAAGAUAUAAUAAUAAGAUAUAAUAUAAUAAAAGAAAUCAUUCAUUUAGUAGGGUUCGCCCUUCCAUUUAGUAGGGGCCAAGUAACUACGUCAGUUAAAAGCGUUAGUCUCCGGUUUCAUUCCGACUUUCCUACUUUAGAACCAAUGGGGAGGCUAGUUACAUCUUCUAUAUCUUCUAUUAGGGUUAGUACGAGAAAACUCUCCCUUCAUUUGCACCCGGUUCAUUUGUUUCUUUCUCUCUUUCUCACUGGCGAAUAGGCAUACUACACUUGAGAACUGAAGCAGGGGGGGUAAACAGGCCCAAGGGAGCUAUCAAUAAAGGGUUUCUAAUGCAUUUCUAGGUUCCUCAGGGGGUGCUAAAUGAAAGAUUUGACAUAAAACGAGAAAAGUGGUUAAAUAGUGCAUUCUUAACCCUAUUCUUAGUUUUUGAGUAGAAUUACAAUACGAGGGAUAGGUUUGUGUCAUUACAAUUCCUGUUUUUGGGUGUUCUCUCCUUGCUCGGUUCUCUAUUUCUUCUUAGCUUAACAAAAGAACUUCAUCUUAUCCUCUGCACCCACUCACUCCCGUUCACUCAGUUAUUCUCUUAUAAGAGUUCCCUAGCGAUACAUCUGGUGUUUUCUUAGAUAUUAUCUUAUAUUAUUUCUUCUCUUUUUAGAGUCUGAUUUCUUCUCUUUUUAGAGUCUCGUCUUAGAUAUUCUCUUCUCUUAUUUCUUCUCUUUUUCGUGUUUAGGUCUGAUCGGAACAGUUUACUAAUCCCACGGUGCAGUGCGGGCGGGGUAAGAGGCUUCUCUUCUCCUCAAGUCUAUCUAAACCAUCAAUUCAUAUUGCCAACGUUCUUUUUCACUACUCUACUUUCAAAAGGUUCUCUAUCAGCUGGAUGUCUACUAAACGAAAACGAAUCCCAUUCAAGCAAAGAUAAGAAAGACGACGCUCCUGUCCUGGCAAAGUAAGCAAGCCCCUAUGAAAGAGAGGACCCUUCAAACAUAGCCUUUCUACCCUGAGACAAAAGCCAUCAAAGCCAUUAGCAAGGGAAAGCUUAUUGUAAGCUCUCGGAACUUACUUAUGAGGAGGAGACCGCGCCCUUCUUUCUUCACCGGCUAUCGAGAAGAGAAAAUGUAGCUAACUAAGCAUAAAGCUAAUCAACUUCAAUGCAGUGGAGUAAGUAAAUAGGCAGUGAACAAACACUCAAGGGAAGAUCAUGUCACUGAAGACCAAGCCGCGAGCUAGCUCAGUUAGAACGAAAUUCGAACUAGAUGAACCAGAAUCAGAUGUGUGAUAUACAUAUAUAGAAACACUUUUGUAGUACACCAAUUUAGUACACCAAUAAGAAAGGAGAAGAAGGGAUGCUUGAUUGAACUCGGAGAAACGAGACCUGAAAGCUGCUCCAUUGAAUUUAAUGGAUUGCCAGGAGAACCCAUUGGCUGAAUGAAGGCAAAGGAGAAGGAGAGAUAGAUGCUGGAUCGUAAUGGCACUCCUCUAUAUCAGGCUUAGCACUAUACCUUUGAUUCUGACUUGUUUAUUGACUUAUUCCACUUUGUAUUCUAUUAACUUAUAUUAACACAAACAAUAUAGUAUAUUAAAUGAAAUAGCUAACUACAACUACUAGCGAGAUUGAACUAAAGCUAACAAUACUUAUGCUCUAAACUAACUCCUUCAUUACUAGAACCGAUCUGUACUUGCUCUUAGUCUCACUGCACUAAUCCCUAUUCUCUUGUGUUAGCCCGCGACUCCCCGAUCUAAUAUCUGUAUUUGUAUACAAGCUAUUGACCUCAAUGCCUAUCUCCUGUUUUAGUCCGCCCUUACUAGAUCUCAUUCACACAUGAGAGGACAUGGGAUAGAAUACGAUGUGCUCGGCAACUAAGCUAUGGGUUGAGUCUACUUUAAGCAUCUAAUCUAAGCUAUGGGUUGAGUCCACUUUAAGCAUCUAACCUCUUAAGGACUAUUGGAUUGCCUUGUAGGUCUUAUUAAUGGGGUUAUUUGGAUUCUGUUCGGGUCAAGGAGAAAGUGGAGUUCAAUCAAUAGUAGAAGAUAGAAUACUUGGAAUCCACUGCUGCUAUAGUUGUCGAUGUAGACUUGAUUCGCCCCCCAAGAGAUUCCGUAUACUAGAAGAGGUGGGCAAGGGAAGCAGUUCAGUCAUAAUUUUGGACAUAGGUAUCGGAGCCAGCAGGGUGAUCGGACUUGCAACUGGAUACCCCGGUUUGAUUCUAAUUAAUAACCUGCCGCCAUGAACACCAACGGACACAGGUUCACUCUGGACAAGACUCUGUGCUAAGCAAGACUCAGUGUGCGGGAAGUGAAUAAAGAUGAAAUGUUGCUUGCAAUGCGAGUUGACUCAGCGUAAGAAGACUCACAGUGUGCGUAAGGUCAGAAUCAAAUAAAGGUAAGGAAGCGCGUCAUGGUCCAAGCAUCAAAGUCAAGUUAUAAAGUCGAGUUCGGAAGUCAACUGCAAGCUAAAAGUAUUGUUCAAGUGAUAGGGCAGGGCGAAAGAAUGGAGAACUAGAUAGGGCGCAAUAAUUAUAGUCUUCAUCCAGAUAAGCAGGCGCUUCAACAGUGUCCUUAAUUAAUUGGCGGCAGGGAGCUUAGAGACAAGUAAAGAAGCUAGUUCAAGAAACAGAAGAAUUGGAGUGACCCACGCCCCCUAUAAUUGAUAUUGGGAACCAACCAUGUGCUUUCCACUCCCAAGUUAGAAUUGCACUUGACCGGAGGAAAGAGAAUCACUAGUUUAUUGAACAAGUAAGUAUAAGAAUUAUAAGAAGCUACUCUCUAGCGGAAUAUGAAUAGUAAUAGUAUAAGGGUACUCUCUAGCGCAUUCAAUGAUCUCGACUUCAAGUUCCGUUUUCACCUGCUCAAACCCCUUCUCCAGCUGACGCCUCUGAUCCUUAUCUUUAAACAGGAACUGGCAACUUGACUUCCGCAGUUGAUCUUCAGUCAACUAAUAAUGAUUCUCUCCCCCACCUGCCUAUAAAGAAGAAGGAAAGGAAGGUGCUAAGAGCCUAUUGUCUAUACCAGAGGUGUCACAAUUCCAUUCUUAAAGCAACUACAAACUACUAAAAUCGAGCUGCUACUGAUGAGAAUGAAAACGGGGAAUAAAGAAUCAAACUAAGGAUAACAGGACUGAAUCCUAUCCUCUACUGGAAAGAAUGCACUACUAACCGCGUAGAUAAAACGACUAUUAUAAAUAAUACAAUAGACAGGAUGUAAACUACUAAUGGAAAGAAUUGCACUAGUGUUAACAAGGGCCAAGCAACGAGCCAAGCAACAGUAAGAACGAAACCACUACUAAUAAGAAUGCAACUUCCAUUGAUCAAGCAUCCGCUCCUGUUCGAACCCUUAAACAAAGAAUGGAAUUGCCUAGGAGCAGCUCCCCCUUCGGCUAAUGAUUAUCUUUAUUGUCCUGCUGGGAGCUUAAGAGCAAACUCGCAACUACUGUAUGAGUUAUCAAAAGUGCUGUGUUCGGCGCCUCUUUAUAUAAAGUCAAGAAUGGAAUUGCCUAGAACAGUUACACCCCCGGCAGUAGUAGCAGUUGUAGUAACACCUAUCUAUGGAGUUGGGGAGUUAGGUACAAAUAUUCCAUUAGUCCUGUCUUCGUAGAUGUUUUCAGCGGUAAGACAAAGAUAAGUAAGUCUCUAACCCUUUACUUGCUUACUUACUUGCUUGCCUGGAUAGAAAGAAGAUUCGAAAGGUUUUAGUCAAAUUGGAAUUCUUUUUGACCUCGCUAUUAGCUAAAAUGGCUUUGCUAUUAAAAAUACCGUGUUUUGGUGACUUCCAGAAAGAUACUUUACUUACCUUUGCCACACUUCAGAAUUUCCCCUUGCCGCCGACCUCACUUUCAGAUCCUGGCUCUGAUCCUGCUCCUGUCCUUGUUAUACUAGUUUAUUAUAUCACUUCCUAUCUUAUUGAAUUACCUAUCUGAGAAUUCCACUCAAAACUCAUAAUUGAUGUAAAUAACACUAGAGUAACUCAGAUCUAUCAUACCAGUGCGGGGAACACAAGAAUGAUUCUGUUUCAACUGCUUCCUCACCAGCUUCUGAUCCUGCUGACACAAACUCAUUAACUAUGACUUAUUCUUAUCAAGCAUCAGAUCUUUCCACUACUGAUUGAUUCAUUCUCAUCGCCAACAACAGGCUAGGCUGCAUUCGCCUCUCUCUCCUAUGGCUACCCGGUCCUGGCACAGCUACAACCUUCUGGUCUCUUUUCUUUUCUAAGCAUUAUCCUUAAUAAUAACAGAUUGCCCACCUCUUUGGGGCAUGAAGCACUACUUGGCCUACCUCUGUUACUGGGUUACUUAUUUCUAGAAUACCUAGCUCAUGAUUCCUUUCCUACUAGCUCUGAUACCUUAGCUUAUGUACUAGAUGCACCAAGUAACUACUAAUGUGUAGCGGCAGGAGUCUUUGCCAAUGCUAUCAGUCAAGCCAAGCAACUAGACAAGUAGCGUGACAGGAGCCCCGUUUGACGAGAAAACGCAUCUUUGCAUUCAACUACGAGGGGUUAGUUUCUAUCUGCAUUUCUUUCCCUGCCAUUCUUAUUGUAUGCCGACCUCGCCUCUUUAUUUCAGAUUCUACCUUGUCUCUCUCUCUCCUCUUUAUUUCAGAUUCUACGUUUCUUUAGAGCCUACAUCUAAGCUUAGAAUAGGGAUGUCCUUUUCUAACAAAAUGCACCAAUCAUACGAGAUACUAUGGAGGAAGCCCAAAGUCUGUUACUAGGCUCUAGUCGGGCACUUAUUAUAGGUCUAGUCGGGUGCUAAGAUGUUGGUUCGGGGGCAAGCGCUUAUUCUAUCAAAAUCCUGCUUCGUUUUCUGUUCCCGAUUCAAUCUGAACCUUUCCUGAAUGAAGAAAUAGAGAGAAAGACUGUGAAAAGCAGAGAUCUUUUCGUCGAGGAAGAGUAACUGAACUAAGUAUGCAUUCGGAAGCUUUAUCGGUAAUGACACCCCCUAUUGUGAAUGAUUAUUAUAGCUUUCCAGUCUUUGCCGCUGUUGCUUGAGCCGAUUGUGCAGAUCAAGUUCCUAUUCCAUUAUGGCGGUGAGCUUUCUAGCGGACUUACUCACUUUUUCGGAAGCUUCAAAUGGUCAAAAAGAUUCAUCUCAUCUUUUUCUAUGUCUGGGGGCCACCAUUACGGUAUGAAGUGCAGUGCUUUCUUUGACCUAAGAAUGCCAUUUCUUAGUUCAUCCCUAUUUCCGAAAGAAUCUUGCUUAGAUGGUAAAGUCUGACUCUUAUCUUUCCUUACCAAGAGGUGAUUCAAUCAAUGUACUUGCUUGUAGUUUCAAAGGUAUUGGCUUUGUGUAAAAGAGAUAAGAGAGCUCUUUCCUCUUUUUGAUAUAUUCUAUAAUUCUAUGAGAAAUGGAAUUCGGGAAGGUGCUAUACCUACCCUUACCUCUCUCUAGGUAAGCAAUAACAAUGACCUUCCUCCUAUUAAGUGUCCCUAAUCAAUUACCAGACUAAGACUUUGAUGUCUAGAUCACUACCCUCUCCAACACAGUCGAGCACUUAAUCCCUUGAUCCUAACCAAAGGAAUAGGGGAUAGAAAAGAGUUGCUUGAGAUUGACCAGCAUGCACUAGCUGAUAAUGCUAAGUUAUGGAGCACUUGUCUUCUAGCGGGAACCAGUAUAACAAGUAUUCCUCAAAAGGAUUAGGCUCCGGUGUGGAUGUCAUUCAGCUGCUUAUGGCUCGCUUUCUCUUUCCAUUCCAUUUCCACCUUGUUCACAGGCGAAUCAAGCUGCUAUCAAAGCUUGUCAAUCGAUUCUUUCAUAACCUUAACUCUCCAUUGCGAGUUCUUUGACUCUAUUCCAAAGAGUAGACUGGAAGACCAUGCUUGUGCGAGCGCCUUUUCCGAAGCCUCCAAUUCUUUUCAUUUUCUUCUGCAAUACGAGAUUUUCUCUUUUUUCGGUGGUGGAGCGAGGUAGACUCGGUCUUCGAAAAAGUCAUUUCAUAUAGAAAAGAGGGAUUGAGUCUGUCUUCUCUCCUAUAUUGAUAUUGGACAAGAGAGCUCCGGUGCUAUCUUUCAUGGACGAAUCCCCUGCUUGCUUGAUAAGAAAGAAGCCGCGCUAUUGAAUCAAUCAGCUGUGAACGAAUCGGAUGUAGCAAGAAUAAGUGCUUUGUUAUUGUUCUAUCUUUUUUCUUUCUUUUUCGCCCGGUUAGCCUUUCUUUGAAAGAAUACGGGGUUAGAGCCUAAUCAAAUAUGCCCAUUUUCCAAGAAGGAGCUGCACAUGAAGCAGAGAGUCCACUUGUGGGGGGAACAAUGAAAGCCUUAGGUAUCCUCGAUGAUGCUUUGUCACCCUCGAGAAUGCUUGUACAUGCCUAUGAUGAUUCCACUAGGAAAUGAAUCCGCAAAGGUAACGGUAACAAAUAAGAAGAAGACACGAAUUGAUGUUAUGGCACAGGGAACCCAGUCCUGCUUACGCGAUGGUGUGCUUGGACAGAGGGCUAACUGGAAUCUUCUUCGACCAGAAACCUUGGAUCUACUUGCUUGAACAGAGUACUCUCCGCCUCUGUUUAUCUGUUUACGAAUGGCCCCACAGGCCUAAGCGAUGAUGGCUCCAGGCCUAAGCGAUGAUGGCUCCGGCGUUCUUGGUCAAUGAUGUCGUUCACUUCUGACCUUCCCAUUUGGACUGUCAAAGGAGGCCGUCAAAGGUCAUUUGGGGGUGGGUUUACGAGAGGGCCUUUUCCCUUACUUCUCUUUCCUUCGCUUGGUAGACGAGUCAACGAUAGAGCGAAAGAAAUGCCCAUGGAGUACGACUCGCUAGAGCUCCUGCAGCCUCCGUGCCUAGAGAGCUGCCCCCCACUGAUCAAAGGAAUGAACGAUGGUGCGGAACCCUUUCUCGCUUUUCGGAAAUCAAUACGUGUACACCUUUGUCUUAAUACCGUCUAGCCGAUAUAAUUCCCCAAAUAGGCUUUCACUAAUGAAGUAGGCUUUCGACAAUGAGAGAUGGUAAGCCUUUCUUCCUUAGAUGCCUUGAAAGUGCCUAUUCUUUCUUUCCUUAGAUGCCUUGAAAGUGCCUAUUCUUUCGAGAAAUACUUUCUAGAGUUCUUCAGAUUCUCUCAUAAAAGAAAUAAAAGAUAGUGGGAGUUAAGAUUCGGGACUAUAUACUGGCUGCUAUCUCACUCUAUAAAGUCAAAUAAUAGAUGUGUAGAGCGCGGGCAUGCUUCGUCCUGUUCCUUUGCCCGCCGAGAGUUGUUAGUGGAACGCCCCUAAUUCCAUUCCCACUGAGGGGUUUGAAAGCUAUGGCGGGAAGUCUAUUUUCUCCCCAACUAAUUACCUUCACUCAGAAUUCUUUUGACUUGACAUUCGUUAUCCCCUCGACCCCUGUAUGUAGAGGCCUUUGAAGACCACUACUAAAUACAGAGGAUCUUGAUAGAAAGUGGUGCAGGAUUUCAUAUUUGUACAUUGAGUACAGCCAGGCAGUGGAAUUUGGAUCCUUCUUGCUCUGCUCCUCACUACAGCUGUUCGUGCAUAUGACGGGACCACUCGAACUGCGCAAGGUAGAGUUUAUUGUCAUCUCCAAGUGGGACCCCUUGUUCGGUCAACUCUAUUCCAUGUAGAGCAGAUAUCCUAUAAACAUAUCCAAUGUUGCUAGCACGACCUUGGAUCCACGCCAACUUGGUUGUAGCAUCCUCAUAUCAUAUCAGUAUCAAGUUUCCCAUGAACGCGUAAUGUCUCUACCUUGAUAGCUACCCCGUAAACCCAAGCUUCAUUCAAGUUCCGUCCCUUCUUAUCGAUCCUGUAUUGAUCUACCACCAUCCUUCUCUUUUUCAUGAUCUUUGGUGGCAGCCUCCGUUUCCGUGGCAACGGCGAAGAGCGGGAAUCACCUAAAAAGAAAGAGCUUCUUCCUUUGCUACAGAUGCCUAACUUAUUCCGUCUCAUCCUCAUACUUCGGUUCUAGAGAGCUGCCAAAAAUGGAUCUUUUGCUUCUCUUCUGACGGCCAACCACACGAUUCAAGCUAUGAGGAACUCGCCAAUGACUUGGAUUUCCACCCUUGCCCGGGAACAAAUGCUUCAAGGCUUUACUUCCUUGGUCCCGAUCGGCCGUUCCGAGUAGCAGGAGAUUACCUAACUACAGGACCCGAGUGAUCUUCUGCCCAUACUUUCUUUCCUUAAUGACCUUCCAGUGGCUAGGCACCAGCCAAGCAAUGCCUUGUGCGUUCCCCAGCCAUUAGCGGUUGUAAGAGCAGAAGUAGUUUCAAGAGAAGAAUCUGCUUUAGUUUACUCGGCGCUAACAGAGCCUAAAACAGGACGGACUUGCACCAACACAAGGAAUUGCCGGUUGGCUUUCCCCUACUAGCUUUGUUCUUAGCUUUCCAGAGUGGACCUCUGCUCUUUCACUUAUUCACACACAACACUUCUUGUCCCUAGGAAGGAAGAUCAUCCAGCUCUUUUCAAAUGUCAUCGUGUAUAUAUGAGCUUAUCUCUUUUCUCUUGCUCAUCUAAACAAACAGCCCACGUAACGCUUAAGUCUCAAGUGAGCGGACCUACUUAACGCUUUGCCAGGAUAAUCAAAUAUAGAAUAAGAAGAAGCUCAAGCAUAAGCAGAAACAGCAGAUAGAUCCGGAUCCGAAUAAGACAAGCAACAUCAGUUUACUAAGAAUCAUAUGUUGGAUCAGCAGCAAGAGAAGGAAAGUAGAGUCGACAAGAUAGGAUAGGCCAAAUCAAAGGGAAUAGAGUGAGUGUCUGUACUUCAAUCUAUACUUUGUGUGACUUAUCUCAAUUCCAUUCUAACUUCAAGUCCUGAGCGUUGUUGUUAUUGAAUUCUAUCAUGUGCUGUAGGAAAGAAAAGUGUUUCAAAGGUGAAAUGGCUGGAUCAGUUGCCCCCGCCUUUGGUCUAGCCGGAUCUGCUCCAGGGAAAGCUUCCGCAUCCUUACCCCUAUAAGCUUGAACUUCACAUUCAUUCCAUACCCGACAGAGAAAUGACAGUGGGAAAAACAGAAAGAAAUCAAUCCAGAAAUCAAGAAAACUGUAGAUGUAGAAAACUGUAGAUGUAGGGUCCCGAUGUUGCUUAUAGUACUUUACUAUAGUGGAGUAUGCUUAUUUGCGCUGUUCUCUUGCUUGUUUCAUAGAGUGCACCCCAUAUAGAGUCACUUAGUAACAAAACCCCGAAAACGGACUCAUUCUAGUCAAGAACACAAGUCCAACUAGUUUGCUGGGUGAAUUGAGGCAUCUCGAGUGGGUAGUUCACUGUGCUUGUUUGCGCUUACUGAGUUUAUAGAUCCCCAGAGGACUCUACAGAUUGACUUAGCGCUUCAACGCCCUCUUCUUUAUACGACGGAGCUCAUCUUUCUUUCCCGCUUCUUUGAUACAACAACGAUUAACUGUUUCAUCUCGGCAAAGCUUAUUCUCUGGUCGACCACUACUCUACUCAAUCAAGCACUCUAACGGAACUACAUUCAAAGCUAAGCAAAGGCGAGUCCGCCAAUCAAUCAAUCCGACCUUUUGCGCUUGAUACUAUUCUUUUACGGGACCUAAUCACUAUCGUUGGUGAGUUCCUAAGCCAUCUCAUUUAUCUGAAGUGAAGCAAGCCACCUUUUCAUCUUCAUCGAGUGCCCGGACCACAAGCUCCAUAUUCCAACACCUAUAUUGGAACUACAUCUCUUUCUCCUGUUCAACUUCAAGCAGAGCGGCUAAGAAGCUUCAAAGUCCGAUACGGAAGGCAGCUAGUCAAGUAAGAAAUAUGAUUAUAUGAACUGAGCUGAUAGUCAAGUAAGAAAUCAGAUUAUAUGAACGAACGACUCUAUUACUAAGAAAUAGGAAAUAGAAGUAACACACAUAAGAUAUAAGAAAAGUCAAGUAACCGAACUCAAUAAGUCAUAAGUGCAAUAGAAGUAAUAAGUGCACAAUAUGAUAGAAAUUGAGUCAAGCUCACUCCUUACUCCUUACUCUCCUCUUUAGUUAACAUUCUAUAAUAAGGUGAACCACCCCCUUAUUUCACUCGAACGUGUUCAUUCAUAUAAGUGCAAGAUGAGAGAAUUCCUUUUAGUAAAGUUAAUACACCGAUAUUAGAUCUUCCCUAUUGUGUACUUCGUGAAUUUGCCAAUGUUGAGUUUAGCGCUUUAACCAUUCAGCCAUGGAUAAGGAAUGGAAGAAAAGCUAGCAGCGGGAGAAAGCUUUAAGGUGCUUCAGAGAUAGGGCGGUUAUAGUAAGCUGGCGAGUUAUUGUGUUGUCCUAUCUUAUCUAUAAGCUCAUCUCUUUUCGAAUGCCCCCUGAUACAUAAAUUGUUGUAUUACUUGAGUGAAUUCUUAUUGCUUGAGAUUUACCUGCAGGGCACUAUCCGUCUCAGUUAUGGAGCACUUUAGUCUUCUCGCGGGAGAACGAAGCUCAAAAGAAUUAGGCAGAGGUGUGGAUGGAUCAGGCAAUAUAUUGGCCUAAGGGGUAAGGAUCUGAUUCCAGCACUAGUAGGAUCUUUCUCAUUUAGUUAACCCAGGCGACAGACGUAGACCUUCUUUUCUCGAGAGGUCCUUUGGUUAAUCCACGGCCUCCACUUUCUUCUCCGAAUACAGGAAUGGGGUCGUUGUGGGGAUGGCACCCUUUGAUCCCCAAAUAGGCUUUCUUAUCCCCUUGAAUGUCUCUCUUUUCUUUACUGCGAAAUGCAGAAAGGUAUGGUAGGGAGCCUCUCACUGCUUAUGGCUUGCUUUCUCUCUUUUUGAAUCACUUCCUUGUUUACAGGCGAAUCAAGCUGCUAUCAAAUUGUUUAAGCACCCGAAACUCUGACUUUCUUUCGGAUUGAAUUCUUUAUUAGUUGACUAUGGUAUAGGAGCAAUACUCGAUCAGAGGCUAGAUCCGGAGCUGGCUCCUCAGCGGGAAUGAAAUGGAAUAUAAAUGCACUGAUUCUACAAAGUCAUGUAGUAACAAAAACACAGCUUACUGAAUUUAUGGAAUUGGACCGAUUUGCUUCGAUCACUUCUCGACCGGGACUUCCUCCUAUAGAUAAGAUACCUGAGAGAUAGCCUAUAGAUAAGAAGAGAUGGAUCUAUGGGCAAGGAAGCUUAUUUCUACUUCCAGGCAAGGAAAGACGAAUCUAUUGUACUACCCCAAUGGAAGGGAAAGCUUACUGAGAUACCACCGAUACCCUAUGAAAGAGAGGGCAGAGGGGAGAAAUCAAGUGUUCCCUAAAGCCAGUUCUGUGUCUCCCUAAGUAGUGCUUUCCACUCAAAACUACGCGUACUUUCUUCUUUAUCUAAGCUAACUUUCUUCUUUAUAAUAAGUGAAGUGGAAUCUAUCUCUUUAAAAUAGAUCAUAUAUAUCGUUAAAAGGAGCCUUCCCACACCAACACCAGUGGGAUCAGUAGUUUUCUACCUUCUUUCUUAGGUCGGGGCAGAGUCAAUUCCAUACAUAAAUGUGCUAUUGCGGUAAGUCAACUAUGGUACACAGGAUUAUGACAGAUUUGGACCGAUUUCUUAUGACUUUAACCUUAACCAACAAGCACCGAAUUAACCAGUAAAGCCUAACUGCUUCCCCACUUUAUACUGUCUCAACUACAAGAUCUGCAUUAGCAGUAGGAUCCUCUUCUUAGGUUCGAGUGUUGGCAAUGUAGUUAGUUUUGUCGACUCGAGUGGUUCUGCUCGAGCUUUGUCUGCAUCUGCAAGAGAGGUUCCAGUCGAGGAAAGUCUAGGUUCGGGCAAUAAUAAAGUACUGGAUUUGACUAAGCACAGAGAGUUCCAGAAGCAUAAGAAGCAGGAGCUGUUUUCAGAUCUUCAGCAGCAUAAUUGUCAAUUGAAAGUAUUGUUUCAGAAGAUGCAAGAGCAGAUGCCGUUCUAAAGUAAUCUGUGUUUGCAACUCGAUAAGAUGCCUCAGAAAGAUCAUAAGUUGGGUAAUAAUAUCUUACUAGCUUUGAUGCGGGUGAGGAAGACAGUUACUUGUCCGCUUGCAGGGCAGAGCCAUAGGUAUAGGAGCCGAGCCGGAUUAAGGUAUAGUUUACAGAGGUAUCGUAGCCCUAGGGAUAUCAUAAGAAAGGUAGAGAAUGGAGUUUACUACCCGGUAUUGAACUAGUAUUUCACUAAGGAAUAGGCCAAGCAACGUAGCUAUAAGAACAUCCCCUACUAUUAAUAAGAUAAUAUAUAAUUAUGUGUACAGUGUAUGUACUGUGGAAAUUGAAGUAGUUUAUCAUCUGAGUGUAGCUAUCUCGUAAACUCGGUAAAGCCUUUCAAAACUCAUUCCAAAAUAUUGAUGAAACCUAACCGCUGAACUAUAACAGGCUAUUCUAAGGCUUCUUCUCCUAUAACUUGAACUUUCGAAAAAAGAGUCCAAAGAGCCAGAGGAGUCAAAAGAGCUGCGCUACCACUACCAAGAAUGGUGUUUACUGAACACUUAAGGAAUCGAUAAAGUCAACAGAAAAACUACGGAAAUUGAUCCUAAACCUUUAAGAACAAAUAGGCGCCCCGAACACACAGGACAGAUUCCACUGCUCUGCUUUGAGGCGAGGUCUAGGUAAAGUACUGGCUCUGGCUCUUCUCCACUGUAAACUUGAACUGGGCAUUCACUUAGAGCUUCCAAGCAUGGAAUUUCUUCUUACCAACACCCGGAUACUUCUCUUGGAGACUCACUGUUUUCGGGAGCUCAACAAAGUAUAUAGUCAAAGUCUAGAGCAAGUCCCACUUCUUUGACAACUUUCUUUCAUUCCUACUUCUUUGUCUAAGUCUAAUGCCUAUUGGUUUCCAUCCUUUGUUAGCGAGGUAAGCCUUAUUAGUCGCAGUGAAAGCGUGAGUUCCAACCAGGAGUCUUGCCCAUAGUAGUUGACUUCCGAGUUAGCAGUGAAAGCCUUAGUUCUUAGUUUGAGCAUUGUAGUUAUUGGCUCUAUUCCUUGUUGUUGAUUUGAUUCUUUCUAAUAGUCGUUUUCAAGCCUGAGUUCAGAGUCUGAUUGGUAGCGGUUGAUUAUGCCCUAAGUGCAAUUGCUGUUAUCAGUGUUUUGACUCUUAUAGUUAAGAAUUGCCGUCUCAUAGUUAGUAGCUCAAAUCUUAUAGUUAGUAGCUGGGUGCGCUAGAUCAUAUCUGUAUUCUUUAUUCCCCAUUUCAUUCUUAUAUGAAGUAGUGUUUGGCCUUAGAGCCAGGAAAGACUAACUAACAGGCGAAUAUAGAGGAGAUCCUUAUCAGCAAUACCAGAAUCAAAGAUAGGGUAGCGAGGCAGUUAGGAAAGAGAGAUAGGUUUAGAUAUAGGGUCGUAGGCCCGAGAGCCAGUAACUACAGGAACCAAACAAGGAUUUGCAGUUGGAAAGCAAGGUUUGAUACCAGCUGUGGAGGCCCUAGUUCCGAGUUCGAGUGUUACCAGUAGUAGUGAAAGCCCUGUUUGUUGAUAUGAGUUAAAGUAUCAUAAGCACUAGUCCCAAUCUUGUAGUAGUGGGUUCCAGCCUCGACCCUAGUAGUUGUAGUUACCAAAGCAAGGAGCAGUUCACUCGUUCUGGGGUUAUUGAUUUUUGUCUUAUAGCUAUGAGUAGAAGCCUCAUUAGUAGUACCUCAUUUCAAGUGAAAGUCUCGUUGUGGCUCAUUCCUGGAGUGACUAGUUUUCAUUCUUACAAGCAUGGGUUUCAAACUCUCUGACUUCCUUAUUAGUGGGAUUCCCGCCAGUACUGAUUGAAUUCCUUUUCAUAAGAGAAAGUAUUAGAAACACUAGUUCACGUUCUUUUGAGUAUUGGUUGAAGUCCUAUAUUGUCAAUAAGGAAUGAGUGUUAAGGGAGGCAUACUAUAAUAUAAGGUAAUAAAGUAGAUAAGUCAGAAUAGCAGUUAUAGUGCAAAGAACGAUAUAAAGUAGUUGAGGCUGAAGAGCUAGCUGGAGUUUUAAGGCUAAGAAGUCAAAAAGGUGAACUAAAGUCUUGUUGACGGUGGUUUCCGGACUAGGAUAAGGUAGUGUCUGGCUCGGGAGUGAUGCAAUAAGGCUGGGUGGACAAAAGAAGAAGGCUUGGAACUGGACAUAGAGAAUAAGGCUUGGCGAAGAGGUGAGCUAUAAGGAUUGACUACCUGGUGAGUUAGGCUUGUCCCUCUUACGCGGGGGUAAGGUUUGAUUGUGUGACGAGUCAGUGUUGUUGGCAGUGUUAUCCGUCGUGAUUUCAUUCCUUCCAGUAGACGCCAAGCUUAGUUGUAAGUGUAGCUAAAGGGAGCUAAUGAGGCAAGCUACUACUCUAGUUCUGGGUUAGCAGAAUAAACAGGAUCCGUGUUCAUAAUCAAGAUAUUAAGCUUCAGAAUGGCCUGUUCCUGUUGAGUUAGAAGCUUACGGAGUUCCGUGUAUCAGAAUUCUUUGUUGCGAAUCACUUAUUUACCCACGUAGCAGUUAAGUUGAAAGAGAAUGAACCUUAGAAAUAGAAAGAUUAGAUAAGAGGGUAGUAUAGACCCACCUGGUAAUUAGCCAGAGGAUUGAGCUCCUAACACGCUUAACCUAGAUCCACUAUAAGCACAAGCAGGUAAUUUCAUGAAAUAAGAAAAGGUUUCUAGUAUAGCAUAGAAGCGGGUAGUAUUCAAUCAAGAUAAUCUUAUUCCAGUGUCGGUCGAGUCAGAAUUCUCUGCAUACGAUGGAAAUGUUGUUUCUGUUUGAAAGGAAGCUACAAUUCCAGUUGUUUAUGAAGUAGACUGUGCCGAGGAAGGCCUCUUUCUCGUCCUUGAACAUAGGGGAAACUAGUUAAUGGAAUGGCAACCCUAUUAAACAACUUAUCUGCUACACUAAUGAAUUGGAUACUAAUAUCUUAGCUUUGAAGCUCCCUAUCUUAGCUUUGAAGCUCCCGUAAGCGGUAGAGAACAGGAACUCUACUUUGAUUUCAGAAUUCUCCUUUCAUAGCUGCUUCCUUUGGCACUGCUGGCUUUCAGGCUCUUCUACGGCUUAGCCUCUCAUCUUUGCUUUCGAACUCAAACAUCAAAUUCUUCCUCACCAAGAUCCCAGAUCCAGCUUUUACGCCUAAUUGAUAGUUUUAGGCUGGAACACCAUAUCCUUGCUUCUCUUGAAACAGUUUCUUCUCCUUCUCCCGAUGCAGAAAGGAUUUGCGCAAGAGACUUUUGAUACCUAACAGUUGAUUCUGCUUACUUGGGGACAGCUUCCCUUUUGCUUUAAGAUUCCUCUCCUUAUCCUUAUGAUUCUCUAGCUUCUUUCACUUGCAACAGCUUCGGCUUUAGACUCAGAUCCAGCAUCCUCUGAUGUCUACCUUUGAAUUGAAUAUCUCUCUUAUUUAGCAUCUGGUAUAGAAUGAAAUAAAGGUGUCGAACAGAAACUGCAUUAACUCCUCGUCGACAAAGAAUUCUUCAAUAAGGUUGGAUUUCUCAUUAGCUACGUUUCCCCGCGAUGAAAAAAGGGUAUACAAAGGUCUCUGUGUUGGGCCGUUCGAGCAAGGAUCGUUGGGAGUUCGGAUAGCCUUACUGAUCUAUAAGUCAGUUAAGAAUAUCGGCACCACCAAGAGAAUUGAGAAUCUAGAAUUGAGAAUAUCAGCAUCCCCAAGAGUCAAAGAGUAAGCUAAACUCAAUCAAACAUCAAUUGUGGAACGAGAACGAACAAGCAAGGGUGCAAAGGGAAAGGCGGAAAACGGAACUCAUUGUCUCACUUACCGCUUUUUAAGGGCUGAUGAUCUCUCUUCCGCUUCUGCACUUCCAUCUUUUCCUGUUUUCCUCGGUGUACUAUAAUCAAUGAAGUCUUAGCUUACUGAUGGAGAGUCAAAUUGAUAUGAAUGAGCAAGCCGGCUAAAAGAGUUACUGUUCCAUUAUCAGCUGAAAGUAGUGGUGUUGUGUCUUUACGUCAAUCUAUACCUUCUGGCAAAAUAGAACCAAGUCCUGUUAUAACCAAGUCCUGUGAAGAAUCAAGUACAACAUAAUCAGCUGUUUAAAGUGUAGUUCCUGUUUCAAGUUGAAAUUCUGGAUUCUUUGAUUUGCUUGUUGGAUCAAGAUCAGACUCCGGAGUAGGAACUGGAUUGGAAGCUGAAGCUGGAAGGUAAACAAGAUAAUCCGAUGGGCUGUUACGAGCAUAAGCAAGAUAGAUCAGGCCAGGCUCCGUUCUAAAGUAAGCUUAUGAAGUAGGAUAAGGAUCUGAAGUUGUAUCUGGAGAAGAUAAUAUGUAGUUGAAAGAUCUUAAUCCGCUGUUGAAAGAGAGUAAGAUGCAUCUGAGGAAGCUGCCCGCUCGCAAACACCGAAAUAAAGACUUGCUCUUGCCAACAGUGCGUAGAAAGAAGCCAUAAUCAGGUAUAGAUAAAGGUAUUACUAACCUUAUAUACGAUCUCGGCGUAGCGCCCCUAAAGUCAAGAAUGGAAUGGAGCGAGUCCUCAUUCUAGCGUUAUAGAAGUUGCACGUUAAGGAGUGAAGCUUCUGCUUUGGCUUCUGUGCUCGAAUCGAAAGAUUGAAAUGUAGUAUUUGGACUCGGCCCAAGAUUCCUUUACUGGUCUAGGCCCAACAGAGGAAGCUGUUUCAAGUCUUGUUUAGGGUGGGUGUUAGCGAUGAGAGAGGUGAGAGUGUCGGUUCAGAAUCAAGAUCAACUACUAGGGGGUAGCACAUAUUCCUUUUGUAAGGUGCUGAAAGCCUGUUAGGUUUGAUUACUUUCUUCUAUUAGUAGCGGGUGCCUACUCUUUCUUAAGUAUAGUUAAUAAGUGCUAAUUAUGACUAUAGUGGCGGGUGCUAACGUGAGAGAGUUCUCAGUCCAGUCUUAAGAUUGUUUACUAACUUACAUUAUAGGUACACUAAUAAAGGGUUGUUUACUAACUUACAUUAUAGGUACACUAAUAAAGUCAGAGAAUAUGGAAUAGAAGCGCUUUGUUAUCAAAUUAGAGAAUAGGUGGCUCAAUGAAUAAGAGGAAGAAAUAUGGGCUAAGGCAGGUAUUAUUAAAAAAAGGGCAGGGCAUCGCAACAAGUAAGGUUUCAAGAAAGAGUCGAAAGGAAGCCAAAGCAUUAUAUAGAUACUGAGUGGAAAAGAAGCCAAAGCAUUAUAUAUUUAAAGGUCAAUAUUAUACACUUAUAUACUUAAGGCAUAUAGCAAGUGAAAGGUUUCGGCUAACGUAAGAGUUCGGGUGCUUUACUUUCAUCGUGCGGUUAAGAAAGUGGAGUUAUAUUGUCUGCAUGCAAGAUCCGUUAUUGGCUCUAAGUCCGGAGUCAGCUAAGCAGUUAAGUAGAAAGCAGUUGGCGCAGCAGCUAGCAUUAUAAGGUAUAUAAAUCAAGGAGGUAAUAAUCAUAAGAGGAUUUCGCUCUAGAGUCGUAAUUAUGGAAUCAGAGGAUAUAGCCUCGAGAGUCCAAUUCCCAUUCAUGAGUUUCACGUUAAGAUCAUGCGCGUUAAGAAAGGGUGCUCCGUUCAAUUGCUUAGAUUAUAGGUAUAGUCGAUCACAGAAAUAUCACUAUGGCAGUUCCAGUUAGAUUCAAUGAAACAAAGCGAAUGCAAUAGAUUCAUAAGAGUUACAAGAAAGCAACAUUCCUAUACUCUAAUAUAUGGUAUGCGCAAGACAAGAGAAGAGAGAGAGUCAAUGACAUGAUUAACUUCAAGGAGAGGCUCUUAUUGUAAGUUUGCUAAGCAAGAAAUAGAAUAUGUAAGUAUACAGCCCGCAAAGUACUCGAAAUAAGCCUUAUUUCCUUCCUUAGAGAAUUGCCCGCCAAGUUACUAGGUGCUUUGAUUCUUCCAGUUGCUCACAUUCCUCAGAACUCUGGGAUACUGGACUUGCUUUGACUAAAAGACUAGAAAAUCCACCAAUCCAUGUUGACCAAGGCAAUGCUAAUUAUUUCUCGAGUAAAGUUCCUUAUUCGUAGCGGGUACAUCUUUCGUUCGCAGACGAUUCACUUCCCAUUUUCCAUUAGUGAAAAAGCGGGGUUUGGAGAAGAUCUGCCAAAAACUCAACUAGGGGGCAACUACUGUCGUUGAUGUGUGAGGAGCGAUGUAAGCCAAGCCCCUUGGAUUUUGGAUUAUUUGUAAAUUGUAAGCGGCUUGGCAGCUGUCAAAUAGGAUACAGAAGAGAAGGUCCCAUACUAAGAGAAAAACGGAAAGAAGUAAAGACUGUUGCCCGGCUGACAACCUGGCUUUGAAUAGGAAGGAGAUGAAUAGAGUUAUAACAGAUGAAAGCCAAGCGUGGAUAGAAAGUCCCGUAUCGGUUAUGAAAUUGAUAGACCCAAGGCCUGGAGGCAUAGUGACAAUCUCCGCUUGAAAAGCAAAGGGGCGCGUUUCAUCCGCUUAAGCUAGAAGAAACAUGGUAGUCGCCAGGAAGAGAUGCUGACGCGGACAUAUAGUUUUCGUAGAAAUUCCCGGCAUAUGAUUCGACGGCCAGCUGAAGAACGUAGAUUGGAUUAGAAAAAGCAAGCUGAUUAGACUAAAUGAAAUAGGCUUGAAGCACCUUUAUCGAAUAAGGCACUACCCGAGUCAUUCAGCAACGGAAUCCUUCUUAGUAUACGCGGGGAUCCAUCAUUCAUUCCUGCGGUCAUGUAUUGGGUUGAAUGAUGACCUUAGAAAGAGGGUUGGGUAGAUAGGGAUUGUAGUUGCUUUCUAAGCGCUUGCUUCUAAUAAGUAAAGUAAGCGCAUACUCGCCUGAAAGUGGUCUGCGCUUUCCACUCCAUAAGCAUUUCUUAAGGAUUCCCCAAUCGGUAAAUCUCAUUCGACUCGGUCAUUCCUUUGGCAGUCUAGAAUGAUCAAUUCCAGAGCUGGAAGAAGACCUUGAGUAAAUACUCCUAUAUCCCACACCUUGAGUAAAUACUCCUAUAUCCCACACCUUGAGUCUCGCUCGAGCAUAUACGAACCUUGGAUUGACUAUCCCAUAACUGAACUCGUAAACUCACUCCGAUCCUAGCUAAUCUAAGUGCUAAGAGCUUUGAUUUCCCUCCGUUCCUUUGCUUGCCCUACUGUUUAGUCCGGGAGCACAUCCUUAACGAAACUCCUUUCCAGCAGCUGCUGCAGAAGAAGAUUGGUUUCCCUGUCUCAGUCUUGGUCCAACAGAUUAGUACUCCGGCAAAGAGAAAGAAAGAAAGACGACAAUCAAAAGGAUUAAGAAGCCAGCAAGAAAGGUAGGCAAGGAAGGAUUAUAACAGCUUAAUGGCGCUGCUAAGAGCGAGGAAAUAUUAGCCUAUUAAAAGCAAAGAGCACUUGAUCUUAUCUUUAAACAAAACAAACCGUUUGGGAGACGUCGAGGCCAAUAACAAUCAAAGGGGAAUUAGGAUGGUAUAUCAUCUUUUCGUAGCCCCUGAGCCAAGUAGUUGAUGCCCUAAGAUAGCUAGAGAAUUAGGAGCAGGCGAAGCUAUCAGCUUAGGCAAUAUUUGGAUGCGGUUGUAGUGAGCAACGAGAACAAAAGGUGAAAUAAAGAGCUUUUCGCACUAAGGGAUGGAUGAUGCGGCGGUACUUGCACUUUAUAUGCUACCUCGCGUAUUGAUGAAGCAUUGAGUAUUGAGGGAUCUUCGGGGCAAUGAAAUGCAGAAACCCUAUUAUUUCCUCCAAUGUGAGUUAGGGGGGAGGGAUAGCAUAAUGAAAAUAUGUAUAGCCUCGGAUACGCUUGCCUCAGGUGUGCCCCGAGACUUUUGGAAUGAAUAAGAAGCUGUGUAACAAAGAACGAAUGGAACGGCCCGAGACUUUUGGAAUGAAUAAGAAGCUGUGUAACAAAGAACGAAUGGAACUCCACUAGAGGCUAUAUAGUUAAGGCAUACUAGACCAAACUAAAGGGCUGUUAUCAAAACGAUUUCUUGGCGGUGAAAACAUCUACGAAGACAGGACUUGCGGAAUUAGGACUUCCUUCUUCUCCUCUGUUUUAUACCUUCCGGUGUGCGAGCCUUACUAUGUUGCUUCCAACUCGGUAUUCCACUAUAGCACCGAACUCCCCUUUCUCUAUAUUCCCCUAUCUUAUUUGCUUUUAGCGACCUCAACUCGCCCUUACUUAUUAAGGCUUGAUUUCAACAGGCUAGUAGCUAUAAACUCUUUCUUCUUCCUAUAGAUAGAAAUAGAUUAAUCUCAGAUGGAACAUGUACGUGUCAUGUGGAGUUCGCGCUUCAGCUGCAAGUUCAAUUACUGGUGUUCGCGAUAAGAAUGAAUGGGAAGUCAGGGUAUUUACUUGUGUUUCUAUGCCUGAGCUCGCUAAGCAUCUCAUUUCUAUGCCGGAGCUCACUAAUCAUCUAUCUAAAUCAAUAAUGAAUAUAAGGGUCAAGGGUAAUAAGGGUCAGGGUACCUCCUACAGCGCAUUUCGAGAUAUGAAUUCCAUUCUGACUGUUUGAGUGGAAUUCUUGGACUUUCUAGUUUAGAGCGCAUAAAUACUUCAUUUCAUUCUUAAAGUGACGAGUAAGGAGUUGGAGACAAAAGAAUAAUAGGGAGCUGGUAAGGAAGAUACAUACGGUCCGGGGAGAGAAUCAUUAGGUUCGUUCAUGAGUUGUUGACUCGACCAGAUCAGAUACUUUAGAAGAAUAAGGAUAAGAUUCAAAAGAAUGGCUAGUUGGGGGAGUUCCAGAAGAAGAAGUUUCAACAGAAAAAUAGAGUAUUGUUUUGAAACUCUCUUUUGAGAAAGAUAGCCUAGAAGCAAAGGAGUGAUCUCCACUACGAAUGAGAUGUCGUAUACGCAAAAGCUCUUUCCGUUGCAGGUCUGCGUGAGCUCUUUGAAGUAUCUUUCGUUGUAGGAAGAGAUGUAAUUGAGGUUAAGGGUUUCAGGCACUUAUGGGCUUCAGGGAGUUCAGUUCCCCCGAAGCGAAUUCCAUAAAGUAAUAAGGAAUUCUAUCAACUCGUCGAAACUCCAUAUAAUAGAAAUAAGCCUAGGAGCAAUAGACUAAAGAGGUUGUAUGGGGCAUCAUCAUCUAUAACAAAGUAAGUAACAAAGGGAGAAGCAAUAAAAGUAAGGACGGUUGUUAGCAAGUAUUUAUGGCGCGGUAGUAGUCUUUGGAAGCAGUCUUUCUUUCCUUUAGCCGUCUAUCUUCUCUCAAACUAUUGGGCUAUCUAUUUAAGAGGCUUGCUUGGUCUCACAUUCCACAGUCGCUUUCAAAAGAAGAGAAGAAAGGCUAUCGGUUGAAAAAAGAAACUACUAAACGCUUGUUCCAGUAAAUGGCUAUCUUCUUCUAUACGAACUCAUCCUAUGUUUAUUAACGUAUAGGUGUAGGAUAAUGCAGUAAUCAAUAUAGCUUGAAUACGCACGUAACCAUACCAAGAUCUACCCGGAAUAAGACAACUCAGAUCCUCAAAUAGUCAACUCCCUUUUUGCCACGGAGAGCGCCGAGUAUAAAGGGUUUUUUUAGAAUGAAGAGUUCAACAGGGAAAUUCUACACCGGAGAGAGACAAGCAACGCUUAGGUUAGGUCUAUGCCCCUUUUCCUCUUUUAUAAGGGUAAGGAAAAUCCCAUAAAGUCUGUAUGGAGCUCCUAGGCUUUCUCGAAAGAAACUCAAUCCUAUUUGGAAAUCUAGGUUUCAAUCAAUCCUUACUUCAAAUAUGGUUUUCAAGGGCUCGACAGGUAAAGCAAUCUUCUUUCUAACUAAGAGUAAUGAGGAGAAUGCUAAAGAAAGAUAUUAAUAUAGCCUAGGAACAGAGUAGCGACUUGGGCAGUGUUUCAAGCCUAAUACUCGGUGUUUACGAGGAAGUGUGUCUACUUUUUCUCUAUGGAAUUCGAGUCUUUAAAAGAAGCUAAGCUCCACAGUAUAAAGGUCAAGUUUGAGUGGUUGCGUUAAGCGGAGCGGGACAAUCAGUGUUAUCGUCGGGACAAUCAGUCUUAUCCUAUUAAGAAUAAUAAGAAGCAUCAGCUCUAUAAACAGGACUUUUGCGUAAGUAGUUCCUUGUUGAAAGUGUAGUUUUUGUUGAAAGAUAAGAAUCCGCGGAAUGACCAGUUCUUGGAUCCGAAGUUAGAUUCUACUUUGACUCUCAAGAGAAGAAUGGAAUUGCUGUCGGCAUCGGUAUCCGCUAAAGUACUUUACUAAACAGGGGAUCUGCGAGUGAAUGAAAUGGAACGAUUAAGCUCAGUAUUAGCAAGAGGGCCAGCCAAGCGCUAAAGGGGUUGCGCGGCAGGAGCGGUUCAACUACAGAGGUUAAUAGAAUUCAUUCUGAUUAUAUCUACUCCCUUGCUCUCUUUUGUAAAAGCUCUCUUUUUUGUGCCCUGCGCCUUUCUUUAGUCUCUACCAGUUAAUCGGGGAAGUUUAUCUACUAAGGUUAUUCUACCUACCUGACCUAGGAAAAGUCCAUCCAAAAGGAAAAGACAUGACUUAAGCGAGGAAGUUUAAGCAGGAUCCAGCAAUAGUAUCCGAGGACUUAGUGAGAAAGCAAGUUCAAUAGCUAGGUCAUUAAAAGGAGCAGAAGCCUCUUAUGGGGCAGCAGGGUAGGAAACCCAUAAUCAAGAUAGAACCUUUCAAUAGACUCCGAAAUCAAGAGAUCGGCAUCCUUCCUUCUUAUAAUAGUGUUCCCAGCUCUACGAAAUGAAAUAAGUUCAUGGUUUGUGCUUUUGAUUGUCUAUUCUCUAAAAGGAAAAGGAAAGAGCGGUAAUGCUGACUCUCCUGGUCAAUAGGGCUAUGAAAACCAAUCCAUCUACCCUAAGCUGUUACAGAAAGAGCUUCAGAUCUGAUCGUAGAAGCGAAACUAGUUGCCGGUACUAUUUCAUCAGCAGUGGGAUGCUUAGACGGUGGUACUAGUGCUUGAGUCAGCGGUGCUCCCUUUUUGCAAUUACCGCUGCAGAAUAGUCAUCCCUAUAAGAAGCAGUUGGUCUUUGUCACCGUCUAUCUUUAUUCCUCUUAGGGCAAUGGGAUAACAGUGCAGCAGAUAAAUGGAAUCCAAAGUCAAGCUAUCCCAAUUGAAUCAGUAAGCGCGGGUACUAUUGCUAGAGAUUUGGAUAGUGUUCAAUCAUCCGCAGCUCUCUUUCCAGCAAUCCAACUCCUGCGCGUGACUAAGGCGCAACGGAUAGAGCUAGCUUUCUGCCCGAUACCUAUGGUCGAGUGACAAAGGGAGUCGCUUGUUCCCUCCCAGGGCUAUCUUCUUUCCUUUUGGAUCUGCCCUUUUGACCUAUGAUCCAUGAGUCCCAUUAUAGAUGAUAGCAUCUUCAAUAGGGUGUUCAAUGAAAAAGGAAAUAAUCCUAAGGUGUGUAAUCCCUUAGAAAUAGAGAGAGUGUUGGUAUGGCCUACUCAUGUUACUUAUAAUUAUACGAACUUAUUCCUUUUCUGGGGGGAGACGACAUAUCUAUAUCUAUUUCUGGAUAUUUCAACAAUAAAAACACGGAAUUGAUUCUUUCUAUCUGGGAACAAAGGCUAUAAGAGAACCAUAAGAGAAUCAGUAGCUUGCUUUAUAUAGGAAAGGAAGUCAAGAUGAGCUCUCUUCUGACACUCUAGGCUAACAGAACUCACUUUCAAUAGGUAGACAAAGAUGUUUACAUGAAGUGCAAAAGUUCCCCAGACGUGGGUAUGGACUAGGGGCAGAGAUUCUUUGAAAGAAGACCGCUUUGCCAUGAAGUGCGGUUGAAAGAUCGGAUUCUAAUAAGCUUAUUGGGGGUUUUUAUGCCAGUUAAGUUACCAGUCCACCUCUACCUUUUCGGCUUAGCCACUUCACUAGCCUAGGAGCUAAAUGGAAGCUCAGCAUUGGGGAAUAAGGGAGUUAGGUCUUUGCUUUUGAAUAUUGAUGUGGUGGAAUGUCGCCUUUUUUAGGGAAUAGAACAAUAACGAUGUGGGAAACGAUACAGAUGAGGAAGGUGCUAAGAGCCUAUCCAAAACAAAACCUACGAGCUAAGAGAAUCUCACUAAAAAGGAAGCGAGCACGAAAACGCAUUCUAAUGCCCUGGAGAGCCUGUCUCCGAAAGUGGAUAUUCCCUGUUUUCAGCGAGUACGAGUUUAAGUACCGAGUCAUUAAUAGAUUCUAUCUUAUGUCCUGAAUGAAUAGAUUCUAUCUUGAUGCAUUUUGUAAGGGGCACUUUGCCCGAUUGGCAUUUCUUUCCAUUGUCCUGAGUCUUUGGUCUUUCUUUUGACCCUGGUAGUCCCUAUGGCGUGUGAAUACUAAACCUAAGUAAAACUCCCCCUCUUUCUGCCUUCCCUUAUUUUGGUUAUAGUUUCCCUGUCUGUUACAGAUCCUGUGAGCAAGAAAGCAAGUAGGUGAGCAGGAAGAACCAUUGGAAAUGAGAACUCAUCGGGCCAGUUCAAUUGAAGAAAGUUCCAGGGAGUUACUUUGAAAGCUAGUGACUAAGCAAACCGAGCAAGCUCUUUGCCAGAGAAAGGUCGCUUUUAGGCGCAGUGAAUUGGCUUUCUCUCUUGAUCGUAGAUAUUGGACUAUCGGGAGUUUGACACAGCCGGGGCAUGACAUAUGAUAGGGACUACCCGCCUGGCCUCUCCGCCCAAGCCAUAUGAUAACACACACCGGUGAGACAAGAUAGCAGACGGAAAGUAAGGUUGGCAGUGAUUCACGAUGCUUAAAACAUGCUAGUCGGACUCGGGAAGGAGCACCGGGCCUACCUUUACUCGAGUUCUCCUGAAUAAUAGCGGGACGCUUCGACGUCUAAGAAGUAUAAAAGGCAAGUAAGGACAGCAGUACUGAGCUACGGAUAUGCUUCUCGAAUUCAAAAGCACUUUCUCUAUCGCUUCUAUGAGCUUCGCUUUAGGGAUGGGAGACCUCAUAAUGGAUGUUGAGUAUUCCAAGCGGUCCUUUCUUUACCUCUGCUAGGGAAUUGAUUGUCUUUAUUAUUCCUAUUUCUUCGGGGGAUUUCCACUAAGAAAAGUAUUCUCCCGGCCCCCCUUAUACAAUUAUUGCCUAUCCGCUCUGGUAAUCAUUCCCAGCUUUCCAAGCCUUUUUGCUUAGGUAUCGGACCAUCCCCUCUGCCUUUACUUUCUUUUAUAGUAAAGAGUCAUUGUGCCUUUUCCGUUAGUUUACCUCGUUGCAAUCUUUCCAGUAGUUUAUGCGUUCGAAGCAGCCCAUUAGUCUAUUUCGUCUUUCUUUCUAGGAUGGGGCUUUCUUCCGGAUGGAGCACCAUUCGUCUAUCGAGUUUAUGUGUUUUUCAGUGGUUGAUUCAAGACAAACAAAGAAAGUCGUUAUUCUAAUAGUCAUAAAGCUGUCCCUUGUAAGUACGAUUAAACGAGCGAGUCCAUUGAAAAAGAAAUGGAGUGGUUGUUCGCUCCUGAACGAAGCUGCGGCUUUGAUAGCAUCAAUGAGAUCCAUCAGCCCCUAUCCGUGUUUUGAGAAAUCCCUCUCUGGUAUCAUCUACUGGCUUACCCUUACUAUGGCUUUUCGAAAGCAACUCCAUUUCUCACUCUAUAGAAAGAACGAACAUCCCAUACAUACUUGCUUGCCCUAAUCGAAUGUUCUCCCUUACUCCAUCCCCCAAAAGAGCUUAUCCUUUUGAAUCUAAUGCCAUCUUUUCCAACUCCCUUUCUUCCCGUCUCAGUCAUCUCUCUUACCUUCACAUAGAAUAUCAUGUGUUAGAAGGAAAUACUUAAUUGACAGUUGAUCUUGACAGUGGAUCUUGCUUCGAGCUCCCGUGAGCUGUAGUAUAAAACUAACGGACCACCCCCAAACUCAUAGUCUGGAAGCUAACGCACUUGUUCGAAAGAAACGGCUAACUCACUAACGCACUCAGGCGACUACAAUACUAAUAAUCACCUAUUCUCUCACUCAGGUCAACUAACAACGGAACAAGUAAACAAGACUCAUACAACGGAGGAACAAGUAAACAAGACUCGUGACGCGUUCAUUAAGAGUUUACGCACCGCAAUGCAUUAUCAAAGGGGCUAAGCAUUCUGUCUUCAAUUGACAUAGGAUUCUCAUCGGGACCCCCGGUAAUAGAAGUUCGGAUUACUUGAGAACGGAUAAUAUCUGGUAUACUUUCCUCCCACUGGGGAUUCUCUGGAAACUGUUGGAACAAGUAAGAAGCAAGUCAAGAGUGGAGUCAUAAGAUAUUCAGUAUUCUCCAUUAGCUACGUCACACAUUGGUUAAACGACCGGAAAUAUAGGUUGGAUACCAUAGGACUUCUGGAUUGGAUACCAUAAAUAAGGAAAUAGAGGUUACAGCCUUAAACAACGAUAAAUAAAGCGUCGACUUUCUUUCUUCAGAUCCAGCAUCCUCUAUAGCAACUGAUCCUUACUCUGUCUGAUCUUGUAGACUUUCAAUGGAGUUGACCGCGAUAGAGAAUAGUCUGGAUUAUUGACAGGCCAAGUAGUGGGACUAAAGUGGGAUUUAUUCCGCGCAAAAUGGAGAAUGUCCUUUUUAAGGCGAGUUCUGUUUCCUUGAUUGGCUGGCACUAAGCUACAAACGCAGAAAAGAGCGAAGAAAGUAUCGGCUUGCUGUCUUAUUUGAUUAACUAAAGCUGGUGAUCCAAUACCACCGAGUUGUUCACUAAAACCUGAACAGAAGACAGACCUAGCUAUGCCCAGAUCUAAUAGACUGGAAUGCUGGGGAUGAAGAUAAGAAUCAAUAUUCUACUAGCUUUGAAUUCACUCGUGCCCUUUCUUGCAAUUGAGUCAAGUACUUUUGUUUAGCGCGGUCUACUUAAGUGGAGAAAUGGAAUAGAGAUGUUGUGCCACCUAUUAUGGAAUGAAGUAACCAAACCCCACUCCUAUUACUUACUCGUUGCGAGUGACUAAGUGAGCGUUAAGAACAAGUCCUAAUUUCCAGACGGAAAUGCAUUAUCAGAGCCGUAACGAUACCAGAAUGGAAUGAUGGAUGGAUUUGCCAUUUACCUAGCUCCUCAUUCCGUUUAUUCAUACUCUUUCUUAUGGCCCAACUCCUGAAAUGCGGUAAGUAAGUGAAUAUGUUUCAUCAUACUAAGAAUAAGAGGCGUCGUCAGUGAGCGAGAAAGAAGGCUCCUUUAUUGGAAUUCGCAACAAACAGGGGAGGGUCCGCGCGUUGUCAAUCAGUAUCCGGGUACGAGUUCAGUUUCCGAGGAUAUUUGACAGACUGGAAUCAGGAAUGCUCAUCUCCUUCCGUUAGCGAGUUCCGACCCGACCCCCUUUCUGUUACCAAGAGAAUGGAAUGCACCACAGCUUGAAGGUAAAGGAUAGAGGCUGUAAAGUCAAGAGCAGAGCAAGAGGGCAAACAAACAAGCAUAGGAAGAGAGAGCGAGCACAAAGUGAAUCUUUUAGGCGUCAACGUCGUAGAACAGCCAACAAGUUCUUUAUUUCAAUUGAGCACAUAGUUGGUAUAGAACGGAGUAAAUACACAGCUACCCAAUCUCAUUUGACUUCCACUGAUCUUACAGAGUCUUAUCCCUAUUCUUCUCUUACUCCCGAAAAACGUAAAUGAAUCCAUCUCUUUGAAAUAUCUUAUCGGACUUGAAACAACUCCACUUUCCAUCCUACUUGCUCCUCGCUGGUUCAGCUACCUAUGCUCUGUGGUUACCAACUUCAAUAGAAAGUUCCCGAACACCCGAGCAACUGCAACAGUCACUCACUUUAGCACAACGUCUUGACCGAACCUAUCUCAUAGACUUAGAGCCUAACACUUCCCUCUCUCUCAUUGAUUGAAUACCCUUAUGUGGAAAUGGGAUUCUAGCCUAACUAUCCUGAUCCAGUAUCUUCUUGAGCCUGUUUUCACCUGCUUCGGCUGGGCUUCUUCCCGAACUCGACUUAGAGCUAGAUAGAGCACCAACACUCGAACUUGAUCCUCUUCUUCUAUCGGAGAUGAAGGAACUACAGCCAACUCCUCUCUCCACGACAAGAAAGAUCAAGCCAAGCACCAAACCACCUAACUUUCUUAUUUCAAGCCAAUAACAAAACCACCUUCACUUUCUUAUUGUAUCCCAGCCAAGCACCUUUCCUAUACAACACUCGAACUAGGCGAACUUAACUCUACUCGGGCGAUUGGAACUCUCUGAAAGUCUGACUCUGGGCUGUAAACCAACUAAUCAGGAAUGGAAUCUUUCAUCAUUGACUCUGAUUACCAAUAUGAUUUCUAUAUAAGACAAAGCUUGUUCUUUUGCUGCCCUCUUUGCGCCUGCAUCCUCACAUUUAGGACUUAGAUCACACCUCGCUUCAAAACCUCAUCAUCUUGAAACUACUUAUCCAGGUGCUCUUACUCUUUGGGUUAUAGUUUCAGUGGAAUAUUCGCCGAUAUAAGAUGCUUUAUCUGAUUCAUGAGCGGGAUAAGGAUAUGACAGAAAUUCCUUGUUCAACUGAGAAUCAUCUAUAUCGCCACAACUGAUAGAAUGGAGUAACCUAUAAAUGCUUCCAUGUUGAAUGAGGCACCGCCAUCCCUACUUUAAUAACUCCGCUAGGCAGCUUCACGCUAGACUCCAGUACUUUAUUGACUUAUUGCCCUAGCUUUAGUCGGAGGAGUGUAGUGGGCCAGAAGAGAAGUAGAAUUCCUGUUCUUUAACGUUACUAGAGUAUAGUUCCUGUUCUUUAGCGUUACAGAAGUCUAGUUUUGAGUUUCCAUUUACAUUUCAUAAUUCUUUGUUGUGAGAUAAGAUAGAGAUGUAGAAUGUUAUGUUACCUUGCUUCUUUCUAUACGAGGAGAGUCAACAGCAAUAAAGGGAAAGUAAACAAGAGAGAGAUCAGAGGCUUUCUCAAGAACAAGCACUGCAGAGUUAGAGUAGAGAUUCCCUUACAACACACACUCGCACCAACAUCCACUACAUGCAAUGAAACAAGCAAACAUGCAAGAAAUUGAGUAACGACGCUAAAGUGAGCCCCGUAGGCAUGAGAUUCGAGCUAGAUGAAGCUUCUUAAAGCGAAUAAAGUAGAACUCGCCAUUAGACAAGUAACUACAGGAAAUCCGCUGCCAUAGGUGGUGUUGGUGUUGUAGAAAGUCAGUUAGCUGCAAUCUGUUCUUUAAGUAGAGUUUAUUGUGUUGACGACGAGCAGGAGGGAUAGUUCAAAUGCAUUCUCUAAGGGCAGUAAGGGUAGCAAGGGAAGCUGCAAGCGCUAAGUCAAUGAGUUUCAUCACGAGAUCCGUCUUAGUUGGUUCAACUUCAAGUUAACGUUCACUUAUUGCUUGUUCAGUUGCAAGAGCUGGAUCAGAGGCCGCAAACAGUUAUGAAAGUGUAGUUCCUGGAAUCAAAAGAAAGGGAGACAAUGAAACGGAGUAGCAACGAUACCUUUCUUUAUUAAAGGGUGCGCGAAAGCGAGUUGGGGCAAGAUCAAGUAAGUCAGCAAACAAUAAGGGAGUAGUAGACUCGGCCGGGUCAGUGAAAUUGAUCUGCAGCAAGUGGGUCAUCUUCAAGGGGAGAGUUAGGGUUACUCAAUAGCAUAGUAGGUUCACUUAGAUAUGAUUUCUAGGAGACAAGUUUUCAUAUGAUUUAUAGGUAAAGAGUUUUCAUAUGAUUUAUAGGAGACGAGUUGUAUUCUGCUACGUCGCGAAGGUUAGUUUACCACCCGGAUACAUAACUAGCUGGAUUGCUUCCUUCAACUUAUUCCUCCGUUGCUUGUUCUGAUACGAAAACAGGAACUGCUGAAGGAUCCUUCUAAUAUUAACGCUUCUUGAUACUUUGAACACUGGAGAACAGUUUUGAUAUGCCGAGCUAAUAUCUCUUUGAGCACUACUCUACUAGGCGAGAUCCCAUUUCUCUACAGAACCGACCUACCCAGAGCUUCCAGAUAUGAUUACACAAGAACGGAUAAAACAGCACUUGCGCACUUAUGAAUUCUGCCGAAAACCUUAAUGGAAUCUAUCCACUUAUAUAAAUGCAGGUCAACAACUCCCUUUAGCACUGAAGAAGGAAUUGAGGCAAACGGUUAACUUACUAGUUUUCUGGUUUGUGGAAUCUUUCUCGCAUAUAACAGAAUGGAGUAAACAACCAUCAUUGCUUCGCUUAGUCGCGGAAUAGUUUCUACUGGCCAGACGCGCGCAGCUGGAUGCUUCUCUUCUGCUAAGGCGGUGUUUCACCUUUCAAUUCCUUUCCUCUUUGAGCUUUAAACCCUUUCCAUUCCUUUUUCACCCCUGAAACAAUAAGCUAGCUUUCAAUCCUUUCCUUUCACACCCCUGCCCUGAAAACAAUAAGCUCACUUGAUACCCUCACACUCCUUUACUUGACUUCAAAGACAGACUUAUACUUACAACUUCAUAAGCAAAGCCAUAAUAAGCGCAAUCACUGGUCUCGCCAACAAGGAUUCCAGUCUAACAGAGCUACAUCGGGAAGCCCAUAAUCAAAGUCAAGGCAAUAUCCGUUUACCUCAUAAGCAGUUGGCUUGGACAAUCAGUGGACUUCAUAAGCCCAACAUCAAAGAACGAAAUCUCACUCACUGACUGACGUGUUUAAGUUCCAGAGGUGUUAUCGACCAGAGGUGUGUCUUAAUAAGUGAAGUUCCCCAACCCCAACAAAGAGCUUGAUAAGGCCCUAAUCGUUCAGCUCGUACUUAUCGCUUACUUGACCCGUUGCUUAUUGACUUCCUACUUAUUACUUAAAGAAUGGACCAUACUCCUCUCUACCCUUUUGUUCCGUAGUGCGUUAGCCGUUGCGCCUUUGCUUAGUGGGUGCGUGAGCUUACUCUUGGUCUUGUUCGUUUCGCAUACUUGUUCCUUUGUAGAUCAGAUCUCGGAUCUUGCCUGGAGUGCUAGUGGAAAGUCAGAUAUCCGCAUCUAGGGCAACUCGGUAGUGAAAGUCAUAAUGAAACUCUCAAGUAGGCAAGUAGGAGUUACUGAAUUGAACUCAGUUAGUUAGCUCCACUCUUAUUCUUAUACCAGAUAGUUAGUUAGCUCCACUCCAAGCCUUUACCUACUUAUCUUUCCAAGUCAUCCAUGUGGCUAAGCGAACUAUGGUUACCUACACGGGCCCCACACUACAUCCUAGGGUCUAGAGGUCUGUCAAACCCCGAUCCGGCUGCUCUGGUCGAGCCAAUCGAGAUAAUCAAAUCACUUCCUAGACUUUUCUCUGUUUAGUCCUACCGAACCAAAGGCUUAGCCUUGCAUUUCCCUCUUCUCUCAAUACUCUAUUCAGAAAAAAGGGCUUUCAGCACCCGAACACAGUUUAAGCUCCUGUUUUCGUUCCUUUCCCUAUUAAGUAAGUCAGGAUUUCUAAAGGACCAACAGGAACUUCCAAGAUUAUGGAAGCUGUCAUGAGUGGUUAUGCUUUGAUCUCUCAUCCCGUUCAUAGAGGAAUCCUUCCCCGACAUAGUAACCUCCCUUGAGAAGCAGGAUUCCCACUUACAUAGUUUCAGGCUCUAAAAUAGGGUACUGCCCGGUUCUCUUCUACCCUACACACACCGCCAAUCUAUGCUGAUCGAUAGCCCGACCGACGCAUGGUGUGCUUGCUUCUUCCUGGAGCUAAUGACUGGUACAACCACAUCAAUAGGAAAGGUUAUUGUCAUGACAGACAAAACAAAGGAUCGGUUACGCGAAGUGCCACUUUGUGGUCACGGCUAAUCUUAACCAAAGAAAGUCUGAUCUCAGUCAGCAAACAAACGAUGAACGGUUGCAUUUGACUUUUCCCUUCUCUCCGUUUGAUUCAUGGUUCAAAACUCAGAGCUUUCCGCUAGCCCCCUGAUUCUUCAAAAAAGGAUUCCUAAAAGAGAUAUCAAUGGAAAGAACAACCAUGACUGAUCUAGUCUCCGCCACUUUCCUGUUUAUGGUAACUAGAGCUUGAGCAUCGCUUGAAAAGCUGGUACUUUGCUAUAUAGGUAGGAAAGACGACCUGACCUUCCAGAUCGACCCGGACUUAAUUAAGGUAUGUUAGUGGAGCAGUGUUUUGGGGAGCCCCGACCUUUUAUAUCAUACAAUUAUGGUGCUUAACCAAGGCCACCUCCAGGCUAUCUGUUCCAAAGGAUUCCUAGAGACGGGCACCAGUAUUCGGACUAUUAGAGCUAGAUUCGUUCCACUCAUGAAUUUAGUAGUAUAAAGCCCUUGCCUUCCACCCACCAAGUAAGGCCGUAGCUCGAGGAAUAUGCUCCAUCGAUUGAACUCCAUUGUCUGCGCUUCCGGUUUAGCUGGACUUUAGAUCAUCUUUUGUGACCUCUACUUAUCUUAUGCUGCACGUAAGGUAUAAUGAUUGCAAGGAUUCUUAUACCACCUGGCCACUCCUAUAACGCGUCGUGAGAUACUUUUGCAAGUCAGAUCUACACACAAUAGCAUAGGACCCCGACUUUUGAGCUUAGCUGUAUCCUCAUACGAUUGGCCCUACUCCACUAGCAAAAGAAUACAGAAUUGCUGGUCCACUUUAUUGACCGGGAGUGCACCGAAGAUUAUCUAAACCCGCCUUAUGCAAUACAGCUGUUUCCUGCCGACGGUGUCCACCUUAUUAAUAACCUUAUAUGGAACUUAUUAAGACCCGGAUAGUGAGUUACAGAACCAAGCCUAGGAAUCCAAGCCCGAUACUGGUGAGGAGCAUCCUUCACCUGGGUAGCUAAGGUCUCAAACGACUCCUACUUAUUCUUCAACACUGCCCACUAUUCCCUUACUCGCCUACCGAUUCCCUGUCAUUAGCUUGGUACUUCAGACUGAAAGCAAGGGUAGCUAGACUCUGAUGCGGUGCCCUGUUUGGUUCAACUCUUUCCCGUGGUGGGCGAAGUCUUGUUAGCGCUAGUAUAAGAAUGCAAGUAAUAAGUUUCAGAGUUAGAGCAAAGACAGGAAGAAAGGAACUCAGAUCACUGCCACAUCAGAAUGCAACUGGUCGAUGUAAGGCUAUAGCUAACCAAUUGGAGUUUCAGAGAAGAGGAUUGGAAAGUGUAGUUUGGAACUGAAAGUGGAGAGUGAGGUUCGAGCUCAGGGUAUCCUUCUUUAGAGUCAGGGCGGUAGCGAGUUCCCGUUACGCGUCAGUUUCCUUAACAGGGUUCGCUCCCCCAGCUCAAGUAUAUUCUUCAAUUCCCUUAUCUUAGCCUGCCCUGCCAAACUUUUCUUCUUUAAAUAAUGGAAUGGAACCUUGUUUUGCUACUUCUAGGCCUUACGCUCUUAACCAAUAAUUCCUAUAGCCCUUUGUUAUAGGCAUCAAAUGCAUUAUAAACUCUAUUAGGUGUAAUAAAUGAUCUAUUUGUCAGAAAACCCCAACGGUUAUGUUAGAGUUACAUUUCUACGAAUCUAUUUAUUAGGAAAGACAGAAUUCAAUCAAUCGGCCUGGGAAUCAAAGUGGAAAUAAGGGAUAAGUGUUUCAGUUACGGGAAUGGAACCACUACCGACAAUACUCGUGCUCAUAGCUCGGGAGGCCCACUACUAUUUCUUGGACGAAAACUGCUGAUUCGGAUCUUUGAACAAGAAACUAGGGUACUACCUCCACCUAAUCAGAAUGAAAUGCAGAAGUCAGAACCCCACUACUACCAAAAAGAGUUGAACAAGCAACAGGGCUUGAGGGCAAUAAAGGGGGAAUUCCAAUAACAACUAGGGAAUCCACUAGUUAGUAACGGACUGAAAACGACUACCAUUACUAUUAGGCUCGGUACAAGAGUAGGGAACCCAACCUAACCAAAGGAAAGGAAAUAAAGGAGGGCCUAGUCAGAAUAGACCUCGGGCGUAUGAGACCUUAACUAGCAACCGGGAAAUCAACUAUUCACUGUGGAGCUCGCCUAGGGACUUGGAAUUACCCCACUGAGAACAAGACCUUAGUUAAUGACUUUGAUUCUGACUUAUUAAUUUCAAUAUUCCCUUCCUCACUUUCAUUCUAUAUCUAGCGAUCCACUUAUUCGUUUUCAAACUACCUCCUCUUGCUUUCAUUCCCGCUUGUCAACUGCCUUACAUCCUUGCUUUACUACACCUAAAGCUGCCUUUACUGCUUUUCAUUCCGGAAUGUCAGUAUUCCUUUAUUGAUAAGUAGAAUGGGUUUUCUCAUAUUAGAAAUUUCAUCAAAUACUGGGGUGUGUUGUGCCAUACGCGGGUUUCAAUCAAUGUAUCAAUCAAUAGGCAAGCAAGGGGUUUGUUGACGAGCAAGUAAGGUUUCUCAUAAUAAUAAUGGUUGUGUUGUCGAUUAAAGAGAGGGACCGGGCCUAAGAUCAGAGGUUGGUUAGUUGAAAGCCGGUGUGAAAGCCUAACCCUAAAACAAUGGAGUUAAAGCCAAUAUAACUUGUUUCACUCACUUAUUAGAGAAGAGAACGGAAUACCAACAAAAGAGAUAUAAAGGUGCCUAUAAGAUAUUCGAAUUAGAUCAAAGGAAUGGUUAGGCUAACAGUCAGAUACAUAGGAGCAGGUUCCACGAUUGAAGAAGAAAAGUCAGUAAAGGACAGGACCAUAAGCAAUAAGGGGAGCGAGUGACCCCUGCCUUACUUUCAAACUGAGACUGGUGCCACCAAGACAGGAACCUGGGCAUACAGGAAUGGAAACAGCUACGAUAACAAGGGCUGAAACAAGUGAUUCUAUUACUUUAACUAGGAACACUCCUGGGAAACAAACAAAUAAGUAACCAUAGACUUAACCAGCACAAGAACUCCACUUUCAUAACAAUCCUACUAGGAACAACUCAGUACUUAUGGACCACCGGGUCUUAAAGCUUAGGGGCAUAAAUAGCAUUUUGUAAUCAACAGGGCCUCUAUCUUUUUGCUUUGAGAGCUAGUUUAGUCUAGGCUAGGUUCGUAGCGAGUGAGUGUUCUCCUAUAAGAAUAGAAUCCAUCUUAUAUCAAUUCAGGUCUACUCGUCACUCCCUCCCUUAGCAGAGUCAAACUCCCACUUUCCACUCUUAUUUAGCUGUAUAGGGCAGUAAACUAAUCAUUCAAUCUAUCUUGCACAACUAUACGAAUAGCGUAGCCGGACUGGACUGCUUCCUUUACUCCAAUAACAGCUGACUCAACCCUUUACUUGCUUUUUCCUCCUCCUUAAGUCCCAUCCCAACUCAAUAAUGCGGUAAGCAAAGCAGUCUAAUCAUAUAAAGAAGCGGAGAUACAGCAGUCUCAGUAUAAAGGUUAAGGCUCAUGUGAAUGAGUUUCUUUCUACAUUAACGAGAUACUAAAGACUUUCUACUUCACUUCUCCUCCAUUAACCACAAAGCAAAGUCGGGGUUAGGGAGAGUGUCGUUUUCAGUAAAGUAAUACGGAUUAUGCACCCUAUACAAUGGAAAUAAGUCAGAAUACUCGAAACUAACUCAAUAAUUAAAGGAAGUAGUUCAAGCUUCCAGUAAAUAAGUCUCAUUUCUUCUGGUUGGCUUCUGGAACUCUAUCACUUAUUGCCCGGCGCACAAAGGCAAACCUUCUUAUUGAACUCGGACACUUAUUCCCAUAAGCAAUAGCUAUACAAGAAUGAAGCUCUAAGAUAGGAAGAAGUCUCUUUACUUGGUUUCUAUACCAUAGCUCGCUAACGGAGCCCUUAGCUUGUAUACUAUAGGAUUGUUAAUCUCAUGUAUCCCAUCCUCUGCUACUACAUAUCAUGUAGCCUAUCCCCUGCUACUACAUCUCUUGCAUCCGCAUCUUCACUGAACCGACCCAAACUGGACUCUGAAACUAGGGAAGGUAAAGCACGACAAGGUCAAGCCGAUAACCUCUAGCAACAAAGGUAAAGAACUCAACUUAGCGCUUCAACUCUGUUGAUUACCUGUAUCCAUAAGAUCUCGGUGUAGCUCUAGAGUUAACCCUUUCGAACAGCUUCCACAGGUGAGAUUCCCGCUUCUCCAUUUACACCCCUCGCAUUAGUACUGACUGAGUCUUGUUGCGCCGAGGAAAACAGAUGAACUAUACUCCUUUCUUUUCUUGACUAUUGAUUUUCAUUGGACUAUCCGUUUCUGGUUCAUAUAGGUUAAACAAGGAUAAAGGUGGGUUCCCCUAGUAGUGGUCAUCAAUUUCUUGUCCAAGCAAUAGUGGACUUUAUAUACGCGUCAACAUCUUGUCCCGAAUAAGAGUAGAGUAGUCAGGAUCAGAAGCUUAAGCAGGAGAAUCAUCCGUUGGAGUUGAAUCCCAACAAGCGUAUACUAGACAAGUAGAGUGAGUCUGGUUAGCCCGGUAUUAAUAACAAGUCUAUAUGAAAUCAUCUGUGUUGUCGACCUCUUUGACCUCAUUGUAUACCUCUUGUACUAUACCUAUGGCUCUAGUACGGUUGCUUGGCCCGUUGCUUGGUCGCAACAUUAGUAGUUGUUUGUCCCGUUGCUUGGCCCUACCGAUGUAAUACUAUAUUCUAUUAUGUUAUUAACUUAGGGUCACAGAACUACAGGGUCACUGAACUACCUUAAGCCCCGAAGUCACUUCUCCUCUCUUCCCUCUCGACAGGGAACAACGCUAGAGUCAUUCUCAUUCUCUCUUACCUGUAAACAAGAAGUGAAAGCCCUAGGGAAAAGCGUAGCUCCGCGUAACGAAGCGCUUCUUCUUCCUUCGGUUAGUACAGCCUAUGUUCGGGUAGACUUUCUCUAUGUUUUUCCAAAAGGGGUCUGGUCUGGGAGUUCCAUAAAAUAAGGAAUCCUUCAAUCAAGCUGGAACUCUAAAUAAAGUCAUUCACCUGGCGUAUUGAAUGCUUACUUCACUCCCUUUAGACUAGGUAAAAGACUGACUAUGGAUGUACUCAUUAGACUAGGUAAAAGACUGACUAUGGAUGUACUCAGUGGAGGCAGUUCAAGCUUACGGCCCUAUCUUUACGUGCUUUGUUACGUAAUCUUCGAUAGAAUCCAAUGUGGUGGUCAUUGGGUACUAAACACCAGUGAAGCUAGUCCAAAAUGAUGGAAGGAGUCAAUUCCUUCUAUGAUCCACUAUCGAUGGCACAAGAUGUAAAGAAGGGUAUGCGCUUUCGGGUUGGAAAGGGCGAGUACACGGGAUUCAGCUGACUUGACUUUAAUAGUAUCAUCAAGUCCUUGGGGCAGUCACAGAGUGGUUUUACCUGGUUCAAGUUAUGGUUCCCACGUUCCCCAAUGGCAGAUCCUUCCGUUUGUUGCCUUACCUUCUUCCUUGGUUAUUCACCCGAUGUUUUCAAUUCGUUGAAGCAUACCCUGGUUUGUGAACCUCCUCGACGGAAUGGUUGCCGGUUCGGUGAAGGCCUUACUGGAUCACUCCAUGUUUCGGAGCGUGGGUUAAGGGCAGCCAGCCAAGAAUAGCUAGGGCGUCUGCGGUUUUUCUCGAUCAACGUGUACCGAACCUAAACAUAGAAUUUGGUUUGACUGAUGAAGCGCCCUUUCUUUUCCUUACGCAUCUGCUUGAGCGAGCAUUCUGCCUAGGCACUUUCUUUGGAUAGCUAAAUAGACGAGGAAAGGCUGGUUUAGUAGGCCGGGCCGGGGAUUCCGCAAGUCUUCUUUGAUCCUGUCUGUCGAAGGCUGCCUGAAAGGAUUCAUCCCGCAAGGUAAGGUCUCGUUCCUGCGGGUAGUAAACCGGUUAUAAGAUUCUUUCUAUCCAGUAAGUCAUUUCUAUCCUGUGUAAGUAGAAGAUUCUUUCUAUCCAGUAAGGAUCUUCCUUGCCUUUCCUUCCUUGGGGGAGAUUAUGGAAAGCAGACAUCUGUCUAUUCAAAUAGAUCCAUUUACCUUGACUAAAUGACUAAAUACCGUGAGGACAAAGACUCGCAUUAGGACUUUUGCUUGAAUGAGGAGAUGUUCUCUGCGGGGCUGUUACACUGGUUCCCUACGGGGGCUGCUUCAACGGUCCAAAUUAUAAGCGGGCUAAUCCUCUUCUCUUCCUACUCUAAGUCGUCUUAACUCUCCUUUGUUGGUGAUUCUUCCUUACUUGAAUCUUAACUCUCCUUUGUUGGUUCUGAUCCAAAGAUAGGAUUGGGUAGUUGGUUUAGGGUAGGGAAUUGCUAAAAUAAGGGAUUCUGAGCAACAACGUUUAGACUUAUUUAGUUAUGUAUGUCAUCAGUAGCAAAAAGGUGGAAGGCACUUGGCAUAGCUUCGAGUAGCUUCCAAAAAGGAUGGGACUAAUGACACUCCAUGACCGGCGCACUGUCUGAGGCCUCCCUUGGCUAGGAGGGGCUCCUUUCCCGAGUCAAUUGAUGGUUUUGCUUUUCCGAUGGCUUUCCUACUUGCUACCGUUGUAGUUCUCUUUCUUCCAUUACCGACGCUGUCGCUUCCUUUCCCCCAGCUAUGGCACUGCUCUUUCGAUUAUUUAUUCUAUGUGGUAGCCAUUAGUGCCGAUUCUCUAAGUCAUAGUAUUUAUCUAUCUACGAAUAGGCUCAUUCCCUUAUUUAUGUACAACUUCCCAAUGGAUCAGUCUGUUCAGCCGAAGUCAAAGCCCCUAUUUGACGUUUACGUUCAUGCGAGCUGAGCUCUCUUAUCACUAGUUCCUGAGAGGCGCCAAUUUCCUACUUUACUCCUCUAAAGCAUAAGAAUGACUUGACUCCUUAUUAGUACUCCAGUGUUGUUAAUAAUUAGUUGAUUACUCCAGUGUUGUUAAUAAUUGAAAGAUGAUUGGAUUUAUUGGGAACGCUAUUCCAUUGCUGUCUCGGAGAAGGAAACCCGCACCACCGAAUGAUUCUCUGUCCUGAUCGUGGGGUAGAAUAUCAGCUAACUAUUCGACCUUUUGUGCGGGCUAUUUAGAAAGUCUAGCACACACCGUUCACAUUUCAUAUACAGGCGAACUCUACUCAACUUCAGUACAGAAGCAUGGUUCCAGCUUCGUUAGCGCAACAUGGAACUCUCAACUCUCCACAACGCCCUCACUCGACUCUCAUGCGGAUUCUCUCGUAGAAGUAAUGACUCAUAGAAAUCGAAAACCUCAUCUCAACACUUUGGAAAAGCAAAUCCAUAUAGAAAUCCAUAUAGAUAUAUGUUCUUUUUGACAAUACAAGAUCUCCCCGCAUUAGAAAGUGCUUCCGCUGUCCUACCUUCCUUAGGUAAGGCAUCAACCCGAGAGAAAGUGCUUCCGCUGUCCUACCUUCCUUAGGUAAGGCAUCAACCAUAGCAUAGCAUUGCAUUAUUGAAAGCCUUUGAUCCAUUAUGGUUUAGGACCUGUGGCUCCAUCUUAGGGAGUUUGGUUCCUUAAUGAGAACUAUAUUAAUUAUCAUUAACUAUUCCAUUGGUAUUGUUCGGUAACCCGGAAUUCUAACUCACUAUUCCAUUGGCGUUGUUCGGUAAACCUUAAUUAUCACUAACUAUUCUAUUGGCAUUGUUCGAUAAAUAAGAAUUCAUUGCAAUAGGUGGGUCCAAAGUCAAAGGGGCCAAGCUACUGACCUGACACUGUAAACAAAGAAUCCAAUUGAGGCCUUGGUCUUACAAAGCUAAUUAACGCACUUUUACUGUAUACCCCACAUCUGAGUAUUUGUACUGAACUUCCCCUCACUAACAAACCAUCAAGGGAACAAGCUUUGGAUAGGAACCAUCAAGGUCAAGAAAUAGAACUCUAUGACAAGGAGCGUAAGGCAGGACUUCAGCAACAUAUAGGGAAGCCUCGAGACAGCCCCAAUCUGGAAUAAUAGAAAGUUGCACCCGACACGUAAUCUAAUGUUUUCUUUCUUUCCCGCGGAGUUGGCAUUCGAUUCGGCUUCUUUUCCCACUGGAACAAAAGGAGACUUCACUUCCGCUUCAUAAGUAAGAGCAAAAGGACCCCUACCCUAAUGCUAUUCUACGGCAUUUAGCCUAUCGUCUUUAUGUUCCUAAUACAGAUUUGAUUACUUCUUAUACUAUUCUUUAAGUAAUAAUACUUCUUAUACUAUUCUUUAAGUAAUAAUUAGCUUUAUGCCAUACUUUGAGUUGUCAGUGUCAAAGUCUCCAGAAGCCUUAUCUCCUCUUUGGAAUGCCCAGACUCCGUUUUCUCUGUGUUUGUUGGCUACGAAGCUAGUGUUUCUGCAUUCUUUCUUAAAGGGAGCCCAUGGGUUGGUGAGAUAUGAAGAGUACUAGGCGAGAUGGAGGUCAAUUAUGUAUGGAAUUUCAGAGCAACCAAGCACCUUUCCUAGACGACAUUCCCAUGAGAUGGGCGAGUGAAGUAAACUCUAGAAUCCGCAUAAUCAAGAUAUGGGGCAAGUCCUGUGUUCGGGAGCUACCGCCUCUAAUACUAAAACAAAGGAAUAUAGGGCACCCCCCCCGACAACUUAGACUUUCCUUACUGCUUCCCCAAGGAUGAAUUCCUUAUACCGCUUCAAAGGAUGAAAUCACUGUUAACAAGAAUAACUCUAGGGCUCUUAGGGCUUUAACCACUAGUCCGGUUUCCUUUAUUACGGGUCUCUGCCACUGCGAAGAAAGACUAGCAAACUCCAACUUAUGCUUCUAAGACUUUCAUUAAUGCCAACGAGCCUUGCUAUACUUUCUGGAAUUCUUUAAUUCGACUCUGACUGUUAGGUCUACUAUCCUCGCUUCCAUUCUCUUAUUGGUACUUGCCCCAUCUAUUCUUUGUUUGUUCCUAAUACUGCUCCCUUGCAUGCUGUAUUACUUGGUUCAAACCAACUCCCGCUGCUUUGAUUCUGAAAGUUGCCUUGAAGUUACUUGCCUCUUUGACUCAUUGUUUGAAAUCUGCUUUUGCUUCUUUUUAUAGUCUUACCUUCCUGCCUACAGGUCUAACUACUCUGGGCUCGCAUCACACACAUGAGAAUGAGAGGUCUCUUAAAGAAAUCAUAGGGUUCCUUAGCGAAUCCCUUGCUUCAUAUGGGUUCCUUUUAUCAUCUAUAAAGAAAUUCCAUGACCGUAGCCCGGGUGAAAGCACGGUGAAAGCACUCGAGAAGGGCCAAGGGCCAAGCAGACAAGUACUAAGAUCAGAAUCAAACGAGCUCUAAAGUCCACUCUUCUUCUACUGGAACCAAAGCAGUCCUGUCCUUAACCCACUCCAGAUCCUAAUACGACUCCUGAUCAAGGUACUGAUCUAGUUCAUGCUCCUUGCCCAGUUGUUUGUCCCGUUGCUUGGCCCACUUUCAACCUUUCACUCUUUACAUAGGUAGCCUUUUUCCAUUCUUUUUGCAGGGGUGAGCCAGAUGCCGAGUCUACCUCUAUCUGCCAAGUCCCUCUUUGAUAGUAGGAUCUAUCAAUGUCAGCGUUAGUGGCUUUUGACUUCGAUUUGAAUUACUCCGAAUCUCAUUAGUAAGAUUAUGCCUAUUCUCUCCUCACUCAAAGAAGAACAACCCUAUUAGAACUCCCUGCUUCCCGAUACGACACUAGCUCUAUUCAAACUUAUAACUAUUAUUCUCUCUCUCCAGUUCCGCCAGACUGAAAGCUUCCCUCUCUGUUUGGCAUUAAUAUCAGAUUUCAAGCAAGGGGCGCAGUAGAACGAAAGUGGGUAGUUGAGGAAAAAGAUACAGGGAAGUUCGCCUUAAAGCAAGGACAGAGGUAGUGAGGUGUAUGAAAAGCAAGGGCGGAAAGGGAAGUUUAGGUCGGCUGUUCACCGAUGUUAGUUGCAGUUAUGAGCAAGUCCGUAUUUGUUAGUGAGGUAGUUUACUAGAAUGUGUUCUAUACCCCCCCAUGUGCAAGAGAGCACUCAAUUCUUCACUGAAAAGAUGGUUUACCGGCCAAAAGGAAGGAAUCGAAUCCGAUAUAGAGUUUGAAAGGAAAGUGAUGAGUUAGGGAGUUGACCUAUAAAGAUUAAAGAAAUGGUUUAUUUACUGGGUAUAUUAGCCGGAGGUAAGAAUAGGGGUCGGGGUGUAAUGUAAUAGAUGUGGGUGCCGCGUGGGGGUGCCUAUUGCCUAUCAAACUAAUAGAGCCGAAUUUGAUUCCACAUAAAAUGAGUUUCCCCUUGCUUUGAUACAGAAGCUGGAGAACUGGAAACAGACAAGCGUAUACUAGUCCUUUACGCACUGUCAAGAAAGACUGUUGGGGCGGGGGAAGUCCAAGAGAAUUAAUAUGUUUUAACGAGUUAUGAGCAAGUCAAGUAUACAUCACACUUUUUCCCAUACCACCCGGCAGGCAGCCCUAAGAACAACUAGUAGACGUCCUUUAAGUCGCGGUAAGCCCAUCUCUUAUUAAACACCCUCUCCUUGGCAUAAGAGUUCUUUCAUUCCCCUCCUUGGCAUAAGAGUUCUUUCAUUCCUUUAUCACUGUGUAUUCUCCUUUGCACUACUUAUUCUAUAGAUCUUAUCAAGCAAGAGCAGGACUUGAGUUUCUUCCUUCCUAUUAUUGACCUAAAAGGCAAACAAAGCCCAUCCAAGGCAAAUGACUCAAUAGCUCAAAGGCGGGCCCAUAAAAGAGAGAGAAUGCAAAUAGCCGGUAAGGAAACUUGCUUAGCUCACUUGGCCUGGCCCCUUAUGAGACAGUGCUCCAAAUCCCUAGUGGUCUUGUCUCUCCAAAGCUCUCUCCCUUGCUUUCAAUAUUCAACCCUACUAAAGCGGAGAAAGCUAGGACGAAAGGGCAAGCAUCAGACAUAGGGACUAUACGGGAUCUAUGUUAUAGGCGGGCUAAGAGAUUCUACAAACUUGUCAAGAAAGGGCCUUCGUAGACUAAGAAAGUUGGUAAUGGGGAUAGACCUGAUGAAGCCUUCGCUUUUAUGGAAGACGUGAUAGUACUGUAGUAAUGCGCGGAAGAAAAGAAGUCCGCUUUUGGCGGGAGAGAGAGGGAAAGAUAAGUAAGACGAUCGGAAACAUCCGACUUGAAACCUAGGACGGAAGACAAGCCGAUGCAACUGAGUCGUACGAGAGAGUUUCUUCCUUACCCAGUGGGGACUGCAGGAAGAUGGAUUUUCAGCUAAUGUGUGUGCUCCUACCUAUCGUGCUGGAACUUCAAAAAACACUUAACGAGCCUUAACACGAGUUUCCGUUUCAAGAUCAGUUGCCGAAGCCGAAUCUUACUCCGUUUGUUUGGGAUAAGAAGCCUUGUUCUUUAGCUAACGGAGCUCUAGUUGAAAUAUCCGAUUUUUCCAUAAGAUGAGUUGUGGAAGAGAGCAGCCCUACCGCCAUGGUUAUUACGAGUUAUGAGCAAGUCAACGGAAACAAGCAAUACAGAACAAACCUAAGUACUAUAAGAAUUGAGGUAAGAGCCAGCGCACCUAGGAUAAGGGUAAUGGAGGCAACUCAUAGGUAUGAUCCAGCACAUAUAGGAUAUAUAGUGACUUCUGAUAGUCUUGCUUGUCAGUGUUAGCUUUCCCCCAUUCUAUCACUACAGUAUUGGAUCCUUGCUUAUUAGUGAAAGAACCAAUCGACUCUUCUAAUAUGUUAACUCGAUCCUAGGAAUUGACUAAGGAGUACCUAACUCGCUACCGUUUAGCUCAGACUCCUCCGCGCCAGUGUUUAACUCGCUACCGUUUUAGCUCAGGCUCCCGAAAGCAUCUACGAAGACAGUUUAAAGCUCCUCCGCGACACAUUAGCAGUGUCUUGGCGGCUAUAGCUCCUGCCGUACAACGUCUUGCGCCGUUGCUUGGCCGUUAUAUCUAUUACUAUUGCUACCGCACAACGUCUUGCGCCGUUGCUUGGUCGGCACGUUAGUAGUGCCUUGGUCAGUAGUAGUUGCUUGGUGAACCAAACUACCGCUAACAAGGCUCUCACUGCUGUAUCGCACGCCCCUAUCUCUAUACCCUCUGCUUUUAUGAGUCUUCCCUUGCUUUUUAUUAGUCUACUGUUACUAGCUCUAAAACAGCUAUUCCUUGCCUUUAGUCUGCCUCUCUUGUCUUUGAUUCUAUCUUUGACUUUUCUUAGUAAAUGCAGUAUUAAGUGUUCCUAUAUUCAUUAUUCUUUUCACUUAGAUUAAUAAUGUGUUUCAACAUUCUCUUAUAAUAAUCCAAUAAUGACAUUCACUUAACUAUACCUUGAAUCUUGGCAUCCCGACCCCUCGACCAGUUGCGUAUCUCUCAGAACAUGGGAUGAUACUGCUCUGAAUGAGAGAUACUACCCGAUGAACCCGAUCUUCUAACUACUUACUUAGAGGCUGACUAUCCGUGUUUUCAUGCAGUAACUCCGGAUUCAGAUCUGUGUUUCCAAACUUCAACCUGUGCAGUUAACCUUUGAGCCUGCCAUGCCUUACUUUUACAACCAAUUAUGAGUUGGAUGGAGUAUACCUCCCCUCUUCAGCUACUACCAGUCAGAAUCAAAUCAUUGCUAAUAAGACUGGAGUGACUUUUUCUCAUACUUUAGCUCGAAACUAGGGAGUCAAACAAUGAAUCUAAGAAAGCCCACCCGAAAGAAAGAAUGCAAAUAAUAAGCCUUCAUAUUAGCUAGGCCCCGAUACUUGAUGUUUUCAUUCUCUAAGUAAGUAUUGAUCCUUUUCCCGAUGAGGAGUCCCAAACGACUCUAUAGGCGUCCACUCUAGCUCGAAACUAAGUGGAGUACCAGCUUAAGGCUUAGAAGACUAAGUGCUAUUCCGAUACUUAGCGGGUCUACUCUGCUAUCACUUCCGUUAAUUCUAUCCUACCCUAGCGGGGUCCCCUAAAGAAGCGAGGUGUGAUCCCUAGAUUCGGUCCCCCCAGGAAGGAGUUCAGACUCAAAAGCAAGGCAAUAAGGAUGAAGACACUAAGUAAGGCGGGGAAAGCGCCUAAGGAGGGAGAGGUCAAACACUCAAAAAAGAGCGUAGGAAUGAGGGACAGUAGUGAAAGAACUUAAGUAGGGCAGGGCAGACUUUCAACAAGGUGGGCAGGCCUAUUGUUAGUAGUCUCCUUCCCUUCUCCCCUCUGUAAGUCUUAGAAGAGGCAGAAGCUGCUUCAGUCCCGGUAGCUCGAUUUCUAGUUUCGAGUGCGAUUCCUACUAGUGCUUGCUCGAUUCUUGUGACCAGUCACUUAAGUCUGGUAUUGCUAUAGAAUGUACUUAGAGACAGGGCUGUAAGGCUUAGGGAGAGUAAUUGCAGGCUUAAGGGUUAACUACGGAAUGAUGCUAACUAGUAGAAGUAUUCUAGUUACGUGUGACCGUUUGAACUACCUAUCUAAUAAAUGAAAACGAACAAGCAAGAAUAUCAGUAAACAGUAUACCGAAAGUAGGACUAAAACAUAGGCAUUGCAGGGACAACUAUAGGCAUUGCAGGGACAACUACAAGAGUGAAAUAGUAGAUUAGGCCUCCGUAUCAUCAAACUCAGAUAUAAGGCGUGGUCUUCCGCUGGGUUCCAUUUCUGAAUUGCUUUAUCUCAUUCUAUAGCUAAGGAUCUAUAACCUUGCUUUGUAGCUUCCAACCACCUCUCUUAGCUUUUCUUCUUUAGCUGCGUCCUGUGUUCGGCAGCGAAAGCUUCAAGUGUGUUGGAAUAACUUGAGGAAAAGCCGAUCUGUGAUAAAAGAAAGAGAAUGGCUAGAUAAGGAAAGAAAUAGAGCUAAGCCAAUGAGCUAACCGAGUGGAGUAAACUAUACUGGCUUACUACGGGCUACGGAUACUCAGUACUCCUACCCGGCUAUAAGACAUAGAGAUAUUUGACUUUUCCUUUUCCAAUAAAGCAUACUUGGGUAAAGCUGUGUCCUUUCUUCGGCCUCAGUCAUAAGUGUUCUACAAUUGACAUUUUUGGAUUGUUCAUCCUUAUGAUAGAAUCAGAUAAUGCGCGUGCAGAUUAGGCGUCGGAACUGUUAUCAACUAAAAUGAGACUCUCCAGCAUUUGUUUAGGCCUCGUAUUCUUUAUAUUCUGGAUCUUUAUACCUUCGUACUAGAAAUCUUUGGUAUUGAGCCCGACUCGUUGGAUGUAAACGUCUAUUUUGAGGAAUAUGCCCAAGCCCCAUAAAGAAAAGAGUUAUUUCUCUAAUCAAACAGGACGGACUUUCAAGCUAAAGCAGCUGAUCUACGACCACGCUUACUCCUAGUAUAUUCCAGUCCUCCGUUUUUCUUAUUGACCCUAUUUAUAUACAAGUUAACUGCCAAAUGGGGUGCUAAGGCUAUUUCUAUUGCUUUCCAUUCUUUAUUCAAAAACAAAAGAACUCUUUCACCGUACUGGUUCUUCUUCGACACUAGGAAUUUUCAUAGAUAGGGAUGGACUCAAUCCUGGGAACAUCAAGGAACAUCAAACGCAAAGAAAACUGGGGUUUUCAUUAAGAACUUGAUCAUCAUCUAGGGUUAAUCAAUUGCCUUAGACAAGUUAGACCCUGAGAUUGGAUCGUUCCCUAAAUGCAGUAGCUCAGGUUUUCCGGUGCGAGUGGAAACUCUCGAGAAAUCUAGUAUGACAGGUUUAGCAUUUUGUGCUUUCAAGUGGAGUUCUUUGAACCGAGUCCACAACGUUGGUUUCAAUCGAAUCUUUGAUCUAUAUUCAUGUGCAAAACGAAGCAAAGAAAGGGGUCUAUAAGCCGAUGAGUUUACCUCAAUGGACCUAGCCCGAGAACAAGCUUAGUAGCUAUCCUUUGCCUUUCCUUUCCACUUGCCUGAUGAUGUCUUUCCCAACUUCAUUCAAAAGAGAAGUAUGCUUAUGCGGAAAGAGCGACUGCUUUCAUGUAUAAAUAGGGAGUGUUAGGGCUACGGGGGGUCUAAUCUAUACUGAGGCUAAACCCGAAGACCGAAAUGCUACAAAGAAAGAAGAAAAGUCAAGCUAUACAGUCCUGGCGGCAGUCCUUCUUUUUCACUCGAGCUAGUGAUUACUUCUUCUGGUUAAGAGCAAUGAGUGAAUGGAGGGUAAAGUGAAUCAAUAAAGGUUUUCGUUUCUACAAGACCGCAUAUCGCUUACCCGUCUUUGCCUAUAGCGUACAAAGAACUAACCUUACUUAUAGGGGAGCUUACUAGACUAACACUCACUCCACUUUACAAAGAAGAAAGGAAAGGUUUGGAAUGCACGGCCAAGCCACCACUCAAAACUCGAACUGGCCAACUUAUAUACUCCACCAUUCAUAAGCGGACUAUCAAACAGCUUCCUCAGGGGCAUCAGAAGAAACAGAAGAGUCAUGUAUUUAAUGAAAACUCCUUUCAAGCACUCUGGACUCCUGUACUAAUAUAUGCUAGUCUGUCUGCGAGUAGUGAGUCGUUUCCAGUGGGGGCACUAAACGGAUUGUUAGGCUGUCGCUCCUAUAGGGUAAGCCGGGUUAACUCGCUUGUUAUCAGAGAAAAAAGAUCGUCUGCGCUUACGGGAGUUAUAAGCAGAAAGUAGAGUUGGUGCGCUUAAGCAAGACUCAGUGCUAGGGUGAGUUACAAAAGAUGAAGAGAUAGAGAAACUAGGAAUAUAAUUACAGUGUCAACAUGGAACAAGGGAUUCUAUUAUUAUGGAAUUCCCCCACUUAUUUCUUGCGCUUAUUAAUACUUCAGAUAUAGGGUGCACGCCUUAAUUCUUGUGUAUCUGUGUUAUUGGCGUUAGUUAUUGGCGCUAGUGUCUUUCUCUAAUCACUUCCAUUAGUGGUAUUGUACUAGUGGUAUUGUACAAUACUUAAGCAAUAGGAACUGUUAUAGAAUCAUUUAUAUCCCGGAACCGGCAAUAGGAACUGUUAUAGAAUCAUUUAUAUCCCGGAACCGGCAAUAGGAACUGUUAUAGAAUCAUUUAUAUCCCGGAACCGGCAAUAGGCACUGAGUUAUAGCUGAACCAGCAAUAGGCACACACUGUUAUAGAAUCAUUACUGUCCUUUACUUAAGCAAUAGGCACUGACAGAGUGAUAGCCGCAAUAAGCAAAGUUAUAGAAUCCAUGAAUCCUGUCCUUUACUUAAGCAAUAGGGACCUAAAUAGAAGUGAGAAACACUUGGAAUAUGAACACAUCAUAUUAUAUAAGUCAAGAAAGUAUAGUAAUGGAACUCCUGAAGAUAGAAGUCAGAUUGGAAUAGUAGUGCACAUCUUCUAAGUAGUCAGAAACUAGUAGUGCACAUCCUCCAUAACAUAAGAAGACAUAGUCGAAACUAGUAGUGCACAUCCUCCAUAAGAAGAAUUGUAAGAACAUAACCCUCCUGUCCUGACUAAAUGGCAAAUAACAACCUUCUCCUUCCGUCAUAAAUAGAAAAAGAACAACCUUCUCCUUCCGUCCCAACUCAAACUAGCAACUUAAGGAAUACGAAUGGAGUUAUUGGCUUUCCCUUUGUUGUCGUAAAGAUAUGUUAUUGGCUUGACCGAACAAAACAAGCAAAUAGGGAGUUAAGGAGUAGGCCUAUGACUCCGGGAGGGUGCGCGAGGCGACUCUUUCUUAACGGAAGGUGUGCAGUGCUCGAUAUCGCCCUGUAGUGCUCCUUGAGAUAGUAGCAAGGCUUUCAGCUCCUUGUUCUCGUUGGCUUACCUUUCAUAGUGGAACGGUUUGCUUCCGUGAAGAAUAUCUAGUAUAAGAACAGUUCUCGUUGGCUUACCUUUCAUAUAUCUGGUAGCUCUGGGUCAGUUAAUCGGUUAAGGCGCAAGUCAGUUGCAAGCCGAAUGCUAUACCUUUCAUCGAAGAAAUCAAGUCAAAACACAGAACAAGCAACGGGAGCUCGCUCGCAAGAACAAACAACCAGCUAACGGGAGUUUACCAGAACAAACGCAGUGAGAAUUGGCAGUUGGAGGCACAAGGCAGAAUAUAUUAAGCAAUUUAGUAAGCAGAACACGCAACUAGGGCAAUAAGAUUCAUUUACUAUCGUCUAGGGUUUGCAAAGAAAGCAAUUAUGUAUUAGGCUUACUUAUCUAUAGAUUAUUAUAGAUAUAUCAGCAAUGGAGUAUCACUCGUAAUGGAAUAAGCAACGUUUGUGCUAACGUAUGCGAAACGAACAGGUGUAGUUAGUUAGUUUGUCGGCGCUAACGCUUACUUCUGACUUUCCGGCUCACUAUAGCUGACUUUCCUGGGUGCCAACAUAAAUCAAUUCUUCUAGGGGCAGAAGCUAACAAGUAAUGGAAUUGAAAGUACUACACAGUAUUUGCUAAGUACACAGUAUUUGCUAAGGCCCACGGAGCACUAAGUCAAUCAGAAUCAUAAGAAUAAGAUGCCUCAGCUGUUUCAAGAGAAUGCAGCAUCAACUGGAUAGGAAUCAGGGAAGGCGAUCCCUAAACAUAGGCUUACCAGCUUUGUUUUCACAGUCUGCUUGAAGAACAUUCGUUCGAUCUUCCUCUCACUUCCCUUAGAGUUGGCAGCUUUGAACUGGUCCAUGCUCGUGGUGAGCAAUGGUCCCAAGGUGCUCUAUUGCCCUCUUAUAUACGGUUCGCGCGAUCACCUUCAAUUUGAUAAGCGGAAGAGGGGUAGUGAGACCUUUUUUAGAGGUUCAUAGGCCCUCGGUUACCUACCGUCGAGGAGCUAGAUAUACAACCUAUCGUAGGUCAUAGUCUGGAGUUGGGGGCUAUGAGGCAUAUUUUCGCCAUGGGCAACUAUAUCAAUCAGAGGCGACUCUCACCAAUCAAUGAUUGGCUCAUUAGGGUUCGGAUACCUACAGAUGUUCCACCAAGAUCGUCCUCUUGAUCGGUUAGUGGGCGAAGAGUUCUAGCUCCUACUUUAAGUCGUCAACGGACCGAUGGCCAUUGUUGCUUCUCUUCGAGGCUAGGCAGUACAUAAUUCUAUUACAGGCGGUCGUUCGCGUCAAGUGUUGUUAAUUCGGCACUUGCUUAUAACAUAUUUUAGGUUCCCUGGGUGAAAUCCGCUAGGUCUAAGGUCUGUUUUACUUUACGGUUGGACAACCUCUCGGCUAUCUAUCCUCUUUCCCUCUGUUUUUUGCCUUAUCAUGUUUUGGUUUGGUACUGUGCAGAACAAGUGUACCCAGGCCGAUGCUUUGAACAGGUACGGAGUCAAGGGUUUAAUCAGGUAAAGAAUUAGGGGUGGAUAUAUCUUCUCAAUAAUAUCGAAUUUCCCGGCAGUGCGGAAUUUUCCAAUUUCGGGUUCAAUCGCUGGAAAAAGAUCUGUCUCCGAUCUCUAUCCGCUCUUUGCUUAACUCGCAUCACCCUUUUGGACUAAUGGCAGUACAUCCAAAACAUCCUGUUGUUUCUGUCGGGUUACAACUCUUUCACGGGAGGGCAGUUUACAAGGCUUUGACUGGAUUCUCUCAGUCUAGGCCUGCACACAACGAGUGCAUCCUGGUUACCAAGUCGAAGUUGCCUUUCUCCUUUUGGGGGGUUAGCGAGAGGGCUACCGUUGAACCCAUAUCUCUCAGGCUUUAUUAUUGAUUGAUUACUUAGGGAAGGAAUCCAAGGAUGACUUAGGGAAGGAAUCCAAGCUUUUAUUGAUCCAGCCUUUUAUUCGCUUCGGAUGUACCCUGAGGAUCUAUUCCAAUUAGUAGUUUCUUGGCUUGAGUAAGAAAGUCACAAACAAGUCAAAGGAUAGGAGGGGCUAAACAAUUGGAUUGAUUGAUAUAAUUGGAGUUGUCUCUGCGGUGUUUGGAAAGGGUUAUUCUCUAUAAUGGGUGCGGGGGCGUCUAUGAGCGGUGCUCCUUCAUCCCCUGAUCCGGUCUUUAAGCGUGCAGCGAAACCUCUAUAUUUCGGCGACGCAACAAACUUUCUUCCUUCACUAGGGGAACUUAGCAAAGCGUUUCCUGGGCACAGGUGAUUGCCGGAAAGGCCAUUCAACACCUUUCGGAUGGUAUGUUUUUGUCCACUUCUCCACAAUAAAUAGAAUACAGAGAGCGUCUUAAGAUGUUUUACAUAAAAUAGGAAGAUUCAUUGGCGGAAUGGCGACGGUCAUGGACCUUAUUACUUGUGGGUAGAUUUCUUAGAGUAGCCCCCACCUCUUGAUGUAAUCUGGACAUCCAUCGAUUAAGACCCUAUGGCAACUACCCAACCCCACUCCAUUGUGGUAGACAUGGCAAGAGUUCGGUUUCUUUCUUUCUUUCUCUUCCGAUUUGCUUCAGAAGAAGAGGCAGUCUAUAUCUUAACAGAUUUCCCCCAUCGUCGAUAAGAAGAUAAAGACAACAUUUUGUCCUGGCCUCAUUUUCCACCAAUGAUUUCCAAAUGGAAUUCUGCUGAGUACAAGUUCCUCGGUUUUGAAUAUUGGAACCACAUUGCUUCUAUACUUGACUUGGUAAACCUCUCAGUAUGGACAACAGCUCGAUUACCUUUGAGCCGGUUUGUCCUAAUUUGUAUCGAAAUUGAUCCUUCGAAACUGCUAAAGCGGAUCGGGAAACCAAUGUCAGGAAUUUCCCAAGUGUUUCUUUUGACUAUCUAUGAGAAACUCCCGGCAGUAUGCUUCAAGUGUGGGUUGGGUGCAUUGGUAAUAAACUAACGGAUUGCCCUGAUAGGAACCCGACGAGAAUAUCUUGUCUACAAUAAGUAAGGAUUCCUAUGCCGACGCCUGGUGAGAAACCUUUUUCCAAUAGAGUUUGGGAAGGCUGAUGCGAAUUCAAGCACUUAUACCUAGUUUGAAUCUAGAGAACAUCCGGAUGAUGAAGACUUGGAGGGAGUCUGCACUACCAAAUGAUCUUAGAGUAACCAAAGCUAUUGGUAACAUAAGGUUCAAAGCUAUGGCAUCUACGGACGCGCCGGGCUCGAAAGCUGUCCAAUCGAAAAACAAAGCUGUGGAAUCAUCCCUAGCUGAAGCCUAAAAUGAGGUUCGGGAGUCUUUCCUAACCCUACUAGGCAUCUUCUUUCCUCUGAAUGAAUUUGAUUAGUUGGAAUUGCAGAGGACCUACGAAGGCAGAUUGUCAGAGAUAGAAUUCUGAUAAUAUCCCAAAACGAUUGAAAUCAUCUCUUGUUUGGUUGCAGGAGACUUACUUGUCGGAGGAACAAGCCAGCAACACUAUCAAAUGCAUGGGUCGGCACUGGAAAUGUUCUGCUCAAUCCGCUUCUGGAUCAGUAGGGGGAAUUGGUCUUGGUUGGUGGGACUCCACUAAACGCUCAGGUGAUUUCGUUCCAUACAUGCAUGGUCAUUUCGUUCCAUACAUCUAAUGGUAUUAAGACCCAUCUUUUCAUUAUUCAUAACCAUGGCUUCCUUCAAUAGCUUAUCUAAUACUUGUUGCUAUUAUCUUCUUUCUCUAAUACUUGUGCUAUGAUUUUUCUGAUCUAAAGGAAAGGGGAUUCUUAUGGGCUUAUACUUAUUUUAUUGAUGCUCCUUGGUGUGGGCGAUUUCCAUUGUGUUCUAAAUCCGGAAGAGAAACGAGGCGCCUUUUACGGCUAACCAUUCUGUUAACACUGGAAGUUCCUUAUUUGGUUAUUUUACUUGCUGCCGGGUUACAUGAUCUCGGUUUGAAUAGUUAACCAUAUAUAAGAGCUUAUGUUAUGUUAUUUGAUAGGUGAUAAUAAGAAUAGAGAAGUAAUGCUACUCGUCUUAACUGCUAAUGCUUAGUUGGUAAAAUGUGUUUGGGUUUUCUACGGUUUUGCACCCACCUCGUCUUUCUUUGUUCUGAUCAUUGUCCACUCUCUCUUGCUAUUCGCGGAUCUCAAAAACCAAUAAUUAGUAAACCUUAUUCUAUUUCUUAGUUGGAGGACGGAAUAUGAAUCUGUUUUCAAUGGAAUUAUAUGGUUGAUAUUGGAGCACAGAUCAAAACCGCUUUCAGCAUGAUUUUGUCUUCCAAUCAUAAAGGCCUGAGAUAUGUCUUAUCCAACUAGAGAACUGUCUUGGUCCCCUUUGGAGGACAUCUAUUCUAACCUCCUAUAAGUCCAAAUUAAUAUAUUCGAAAAAGAAGGAGGCCACUACGGGUUUGUCUGAUCAGGAGGAUAAAUAGCUCUUGAGUCUUCAUAACCAUUGGAUUGCUAUUACUAGACAGAUUCAUAUUUUCAUUAAUCGUGGGUGAAGGCCAAAAGGUGAAAUGGAUUAAUGAUAGAGAUAGAAAUACAGCAGCAGAUAGUAUUCAUAAAGCUUUUUCUGUGAUUUCUUUGACUUUAUUUGAUUAUUGGCCAGCAAGCAAUACUCAGACUUCAAGGACAGGACAGGGGAUACUCAGAAACAGAUGGAUCCUUCCCCUUUCGAGAAGAAGCUCGCUCGUCUAUUUGCUCUUUAGGUUUAGGGAAGAGAGAGCCCACGCUUCAUACCAGACUUGAGACUCUACUCGGGAAAGGACAGAUAGAGGCAUAGGCUCCUCUCAUAACUCUAAUAAAGGACAGAUAGAGGGAUUUCCACUUUAGACUCUUCUGGACUCCUAGAAUUCAAGAUCACUUUCUCCUUGGGAGAGCACUCCUAGAAUUCAAGAUAGCUUUAGACUCUGGACUCCUAGAAUUCAAGAUCACUUUCUCCUAUCUCCGAAAAGUGCCAAUUGCUAACUUUCUAUUUUAUUGGAAUUGGAGAAUCCACUAUCCAAAAAGAAAGAAGAUGAGUUCUCUUCAACUCUAAAUAGGGUCUCUGGUCUAGACAGGCGGUGGAAACAGCCAAGCGGAGUUUCUUCUUACAGUGAAUAGUCCAUUCUUUCCUGCCUUUCACAAUAGAUGUCCAAUGCCUUAUUAAUACUUAUAUACUCUUAUCAGUUCUUUCCUACCUUUCAUUCAAUAGAUGCCCAAUGAUCAUAUUCCUUAUUAAUACAUUUUGUAUACUUAUAUGUGUUUGCUUUAUACACUAAAUAGUUGGGUCAUUCAAUAAAAGAGUCUAAUGGAAAAUGGUAAUGAAUCUAAUAUGUGUGGUGGUUUUUCAAGAAUACACAGUAAUCCCAGCAGUGUUAGAGACGUUGAGAUCAGAACAAAACGAUUGGAUUCUCUUGAGCCUAUAUCGGCCGGCCGGGCAACCCCAUAUUCCUAAAAAGACUCCCGACCAAAAGAUGAACCAUUCUUUUGAGAGUUGAGUCCAUACUGCCCUUUCUCUUUUUCGUUGGAGCCAACUUUAGUGGAGAGUUUAGUCGCAUGUCCGCUCCUCUUUUCUUUCCGCAAUGGAAUCGGGCUCGACCCCUUUC